RNAcentral lists this long non-coding RNA (49371 nucleotides) under Populus tremula. RNAcentral describes it as "long non-coding RNA (PTRE_LNC002436)". The record is from RNAcentral. Lineage: Eukaryota; Viridiplantae; Streptophyta; Magnoliopsida; Malpighiales; Salicaceae.
UGUAAAACACACCAAAGCUGGCAUAGAAACUGUCCAUGUCUAUGAAGCCACCAUCUCCAUUGAAAUCGUUAGGCACUCUUGCGGAUGGUGAUUCUGUUUUGUCGCAACUGUUUUGCAAUGGAGGUCCACAAAGAAGAGGAUUCCCUUUAUAACUGCUCUCAUCAAAGGUACCAAAUUGAUUUUUCAUCUCCAGUGUUCUUCCUGACAAAUUAUUGUACGACACGUUGAAAACUUCUAGAAAGGUCAGUUCAACGAGUUGUUCUGGAAUUCUCCCAUUCAAGGUGUUGUGAGAAAGAUCCAAGCUCUCUAUCUGCUUCAGAUUGGAGAAAGAUGGAGGGAUCAAUCCAGUGAGAUUAUUUCGCGACAGAUUUAGAGAGUAUAUCCCACUUAAGUUUCCCCAUUCUGUCGGGAUUUCUCCAGUGAAUCUGUUACAAGAAAGGUCCAUAACAGACAUGUAACGAAGGAUAUCGCCUUCGUAAGAGUAGAAAUUUUUCUUUGUUGUAAGCUCUACAGAUAUUUUUACACUGAUCUCUGGCCACAAAAUUUUGCCAUAAAGAUAAAAACCUUCGUGCUCCAAUUCUCUUUCCCCCAUGGAUGCAAAUAUUUCUUUCCGGCUUCCAUCAUCUUGUGAGUACGUACUAGUGACAACCCAAGUUUUUUCAUAUGAUGCCGUAAAAUCUAAAUUGCUCAAACAUGAGGGUAACAGACUAGAAAAAUUAUUUUCUGAAAGAUCCAAUAUGCUUAAUUUCCUUAACAAGCAUAAUUGAACAGGAAGUUCCCCAUUGAAUUGAUUAGAUUUCAAAAGAAGAAAACUCAAUUCCGAAAGUCUAUCAAUCCAAUUUGGAAUUGGCCCAGUUAAGUUGUUAUAGCCGAGAUCUAAUGUCACCAAAGAAGAGAUGUUAUAAAAAGCAUUUGGCAGUGGACCGGUCAAUCGAUUUCCGUAUAGGUGGACAUAGCGUAAAUGCGGUGCAUAAAAGCCCAACGGCAAAGACCCAGACAAAUUGUUUUCAGAAAGAUCUAAAAAUUCAAGCCUAGAAGGAUUGAAAUAUUCUUUUGGAAUGGUACCUUCAAACUGAUUUCUGGACAAAUCAAUUGCCUGAAAGGGGUAUAUUGAAGAGUUCCCAAUUCCCCUUGGAAGCAUGCCUGACAAAAGAUUGUUACUUAUAUCAAACCACAAAAAUGAUGAUGCAAGAGAAAAGGUACCAGAUACUUGUCCUGCAAAUUUGUUUCCGUCGAGAAAGAGGUACUCUAGGUGAGUCAUGUUGAACAAAGAGAGUGGUAAUCGCCCUUUGAAAUUGUUAUUGGACAGCUUUAAGGACCACAACGAGGAGCCUACUGCUGGAAAAUUAUGCUUAAGCAGUUCACAAGACAUCUGAUUGUUGGAAAGAUCAAAGUAUUCGAGAGAGCUCAUAUUCCCAAAACAAGGAGGAAUACAACCUGUGAGGCUGUUGUUAGCCAUCAUGAAGUUUUUCAAACGUGGAAAAAUCGAACAUAUGUUGCUUGCAAUUUGACCAUGUAUGUUGUUGCCAGACAUAUCUACUGUCUGAAGGUUGGGUGUUGGAUGUUGUGGCAGCUGCAAAAGACUUGUAAAUGAGGUGUCUCUCAAAUAUAGCCGAUUUAACUUUCUAUUAUUCUCAAACAGCCAAGAUGGGAAAGGUUCUCCAACGAAUUUGUUGUGGGAUAGAUCAAGAAACACCAAAUCAUGUUGGCUAUGCAGGAAGUUUGGAAAUCCAGCUCUGAGUGGUUUUGAAGUACAGUUUGAAGCACUGAAGUAACGAAGCUGGAACUUGGGAGCUGAAGGCUGAAAACUGGGUGCAGCUAUCAGCUCAUUGUUAUCGCAUGCAAUGAACUUGAGGUUGGAGAGGUUCAUAAAUGAACCAAAUGUUAUUGGAACUUGAAAGUAGUUACUUGAAACUGAGAGGUAUUCAAGCUGCGUAAGAUGGGAAAGGUGACUAGAGGCAAUAUUUCCCUCCAAUUGGUUGUCAGAUACAUCCAAGAUUUGUAGAGAUGAUAGAUUUCCAAAACAAGGAGGGAGUACGCCCUUUAGAUAGUUUCUUGAGAGAUAUAGCUUUUCAAGAUUCUUCGGUUCACACCAGCCUGCAGAAUAUAUCAAUAUGUUCAUAUAUCAAUUAUGUAAUUGCUUGGUGAGGUUUUAAAGUUUUAGUUGAUUCUUGUUUCAUUACCUAGGUCGGUUUUAGAUUAUAUUUAAACAACUUUGUUUGUUAGUUUUUUAAAAGAUUAAUUAUCUAUAUUAUUGAUAUUCAUAAUUUUUUUAAUUCAAAGUUUUUUCUAUAAUUUAAGACAGAGAAAUUUUAGAGAUUCAGAAACUCUAGAUUUUAUCCUUUUCUAUACAUAACAUUAUGAGUAAAUUUCUAGUUUAAUAAAACAUAGAUAUAACAAAAUAUCUAAUGAACAACUGUUAUUUGGAUUUCAAUACUCUUAUAAUUGUUCAUUUGUAGAAUUACCAUCCCAAUAUCCAUAUAAAUUCAAUGAAAUAUAAAUUUGUGUGUUAAUUUUUUGAUAUUAUAUCAAUAUUUUAAUAACCAAAUAUUCAUGAAUUCUAACAUAUCACAUAUAAAUUCUAACUAGUUGAUCCUUUAAUAAAAUUUUAAAAAUUGAACAAAAGUUAAUGGUUAAUACACAUCUAUUUAUUAGACAAAUUCACUAAAGAAUAAAUUAAGCCUCACUAAGGAAUGUCAUCCAAGGAAGGAAUGAUUUACAACUUUACCAUUGAGACCAGUUGAUCCUGUGAACAUAUUGUCUGAUAGAUCUAGAGAUUUGAGAGUUGAAAAUCCAUUGAGAGAUGAUAAAAUGCUGUCGUUAAAUUUAUUGUUACUUAGAUAAAGUUCCUCCAAAUUCCUCAACCCUGAAGCUAGGACUUGAAAACCUGAAAGAAAAUUGUCGGAAGCAAAGAAAUUAACAGAUAUAUAUAUCAACCAUCCCAAUAUCCAUAUAAAUUAAAUGAAAUAUAAAUUUGUGUGUUAAUUUUUUGACAUUAUAUCAAUAUUUUAAUAACCAAAUAUUCAUGAAUUCUAACAUAUCACCUCCAUUCUUUUAAUAAAAUUUUAAAAAUUGAACAAAAGUUAAUGGUUAAUACACAUCUAUUUAUUAGACAAGUUCACUCAAGAAUAAAUUAAACCUCACUAGGGAACGUCAUUUGAGGUAGGAAUGAUUUACAACUUUACCAUUGAAACCAGUUGAUUCUGUGAAUCUAUUGUUUGAUAAAUCUAGAGAUUUGAGAGUUGAAAAUCCACUGAGAGAUGAUAAAACACUGUUGUUCAAUUUAUUGUCACUUAGAUAAAGUUCCUCCAAUUUCCUCAACCCUAAAGCUAGGACUUGAAAACCUGAAAGAAGAUUGUCAGAAGCAAAGACAAUUAAAAGAUUUAUAUAUCAACCAUUUCAAUAUCCAUAAAGAUUCAAUGUAAAGUUACUUGAAACAUAACUAACUUUAUGUGUUAACUAAAAAAAAAUUGAAAGCAUAGAACCUUGGUUCUUUAAGCCACCAACUAAUUGGUUGCCGCUUAAGUCGAGAAUCUCCAGUUCUUUGAAAGGCAGAAACAAAGGUGCAUUGAGAUCCAAGUCUUCGACUGCAUCAUAAUUUACAUAUGAAAGAUGUAGUUCGAUCACUCGGUUUGUGGUGUUGUCACACACAACCCUAUAAUAAUCCCAGUUACAGCAAUUAAAGUGCUCUUUAUCCCAACGUUCUAGCGGAUCAUAGGACCCAGCUGCACGUGCAUGAUAGAACCAAGCUUUUAUCUCUAAGAGACUAACUCUCUCUUCCUCCACACAACAAUGGCUCCGGUCGUUGAGGAAGGCCAGUGCCAUGAGCAGCAUCCACACCCACAUUUGCCUCAUCUUCAUAUUAACGCUCCUACUUGACAAAAUACAAAAGCAAGCAAGCUGUCUCUUAUAUACAAAUUAAUUUGUCCUCUUCAUUUGAUCGGACUUAAUUAUCUGUAUCAUUGAAUUUUCUAUGCUGAAUUAAUUAUCCAAGGGAGACUUGGGCUGAAUUGAAUGGGAGAAUCUUCACGGACAGAUCCAGGGGCCCGCACCACGGCACAGAUCGCUCGGUUUGUGGUGUUGGAUUAAAGGAUAUUAAUUCCAACUUCUUGUUUACUGCUUUACUUUUCUUCAUAGACUUGGGAAGUCAGGUGCUGUAUAUGAACAAUUGAUUUGAUCUUAUGAAAUACACGGCAGAAGAGAUUAGAAAAUGACUUCUAUUAUCAAUAAUUUCUUCUUACUGCACCUACUGAUUUUUAUUUCUUUUGAAAUAUUUAGAAUAUCUCUUUUGAAAUAUCAAUAUCGCCUACCCCACUUCCUUCAUUUUUGUUAACGGAGUGAAAUGAUUUCAACACGUGUCCAUGCAUCUGCCAGCUACCCUAAUUAAUCUGCACUAACAGUGACCAUAACAGCUGUAACAAUACUCCCUCAAUACUUGUAACAUCAUCCUAAUAUAUAUAUAAUAGAUUGGAAGCAUGCAUGGGUUUCUUACAUGAUUAACUAAACUUAAUCUUGUAAUAUUGAAUUAUUUGAUGAAAACAUUAUCUAAAACAAGAUUAAUUGAUAUAUUUAAAGUCAAAUAAAAAACAAACCCUGCUUAUUUUUAAUAUUAAAAAUUAUUUCUAACAUAAAUUUUUAACAUAAUAAUUUAUCAAAAUUAAAAUAAAUUAGAAUCACCGUUUGAGCAAUUGAUUUGAUCUUGGGCCCACAAUUAUUUUCAUUAGCCUGUUAAUAUUUUUCUUCAAGCUUGUGGAACAGGUUGUUCCUUUAGGCUACUUUGCUUCUUCUUUUUUUUCUUCUUAGACUUGGGAAGUUAUUUGUUUGAACAUUUAAUUUAAGUUUUUAUGGUUGUUUGUUUUUGUGUUUUAAAAGUAUUUUUAAAUAAAUUUUAAAUUUUUUAAUUUUUUUAUUAACUUCAAAUUAAUAUAUUUUUAGUGUUUUCAAAUCAUUUUGAUAUGCUAAUGUCAAAAAUAAUUUUUAAAAAAUAAAAAAAUAUUAUUAAUAUAUAUUUUAACAUAAAAAAUUAUUUAAAAAACAAUAAUAUAAUCUCAUCAUCCAAUAUCGCUUGUUUUUAUUCUUCGUAGACAUGUGAAGUAAAGAUUCCCAAUUAUCCACUGCAUCAAUCUCUAUCCCAUCAAAAUGAAUUUGGUGCAAGAAAAAAAUAUCUAAUAUAUGUGAUUUACUCAUUAUGCAUAUUUAAGAUUGCUAAAGGAAAAUAUUUAGUUUAAUUUCACAUAUAAGCUAAUUCGAUAACACUUUUUAAUAUAAAACCAAAAAAAAAAAGAGUGCUAUCGUCAUCAACUUUAUUUGGUUUCAAUUUAUGACGUUUGACAUAUAAAUUCUGUUCAAUUUAAAUCAACUUUUCAAUAAAUAGUGAAUGUUAAUGAGCACAGUAGCGAGAACUAAGCAGUGUUAUGUGUACUUGGAACCAAGGUUGUUAAAAUCGUGUUUUGACUCGUAAAAUCGUACGAUUUUACGAGUCAAAACAUGUAUUACGGGUUGAAUCGCUUGAAAAAAUCAAAAAUAGCUAAAAUCGGGUUGAAAUCGAGUGAAAUCGCGAUUUCAGGACCGAUUUUGCGAUUUUGACAAAAUAAGGCCCUGAAACAAAAUCCUCCCUCCUGGAUAGCUGUCAUGCCUAUUGGAUUAUUCCUGCACAGUCUUACUCAUACACAACGUUUCAUGUCUUCCUUAGCUCUCGUGUCUAGCGUGAAUAGGAAGGUCCCCGUGUUGGUCAAGCAGGAAUGUCUGGAACUAGUUGCUAUGUGUAAUAAAAAAAACUUUGGCAGGAUAUGAACAGAAUGAAGAAUUACAAAGAUGAAAUCUCUCUCUCUCUCUCUCCCCUUCCUUCUUCUUAUCUCUUUCACCAUUCAUGCUGCAACCCUCCUGUUGAUUUCUGGAAAUGGUUCAGAACCAUUCCAUCGCAUUCAAUUCCCCUGGAUAUAUUUCUGGAAAUGUAAUUUUUAAUCUAUUAAUUUUUUUUAUAAAACAUAUUAACCGAAUAUUAUUUCAAUUUCACUCGAGUUUUAUGGUAGAAACUGGUGAAGUGUGUGUAUAACACCUGACAAUAUUUUAAGAUGCUUGAACUAUAUAUGAAUUUUUAUUUGAAGGCUUGAAAUAUGUAUGAAAUUUUAUUUGAAACAUGUUUUUUAAUGUGCUUGAACUAUGUAUGAAUUUUUAUUUGAAACAUGAAUUUUUUUUAAUGUAUUUCAAAAUUCCUUACGAUUUUACGAGCCGUUUUUACAAUCCGAUUUUGUGAAGGGCUUUCCGUUUCGUUCUAAAAUCGCGAUUUUAACAAUCUUACUUGGGACUGUGAAUAAUGUACACUUUAGCUCUCUUCAUACAGUCAAUUGACUUUGACACAGUAAAAAUGAAAAAAAAAUUACUCCGUCGAUUGGUGAUUAAACUACAAUACUAAAUAUACCAACUCUGUGGAUUUGUGAUUAAACUUGGAAAAAAACAACAAUACUAAAAAAAGCCAUAUGUGAAUUUGUGAUUAAGAAAAUUCAUUAUUUUAUUUUUUGACAUAUUAGGUUCCACUAGAUGCACCCAGUCAAUGUGAGUGGUUGUCUUUUUUAUUAUUUAUGAGGAUCCAAUUGAUGCAUCAAGUCUAGGGCUCCACAAUCACUGUCACUAGUCAAUUCCGCCAACUUGUUGCGUAAACUACUUUGCUUUCUCUUCAUAUAUAGACAUGGAAAUCAUGUGGAAUCAAAAAAUUUAUUCCUUAACCUUUUUCAUGGAAUGAAGUGAUUUCCCAGUAGCAUCAUCAUCCACUUGCACUUUUUUUUUCUUCGUAGACUUGAGAAGUCGGUCAAGAUUCCCAAUAUAUUAUCAACAUCAUCAAUUUAAAAAAGAAAUAUAUGUUAGGUUGAUUUAUAUGUUAGGCUGAUUUACUUCCAUAUUAAUUAUUGUUUGAAUAUUCUUAAUCCGAAUGAUAUUAGUCCAUUCAAAACAAAUUCAUUUUCUUUUUUUAUAAAUAUAUUUAUAUAACUACCAAAGAAGAAAAUGCAUUGAUUAAAAUAUUAUUAAUCUGUUUGAAUGAAGAAAGUUAAGGCAGAGAUGACCAACCUAAACACCGUGUGGGCCAAUAAAAUUGAAAACAAAAGAUAAUAUCAAUGGCUUGCAAAAAAAAAGGGUUUGUGUUAAAUUUAUCUAUAUGUUAAAUUACUUGAUUUACUAAACUUAAUCAUGUAAUAUUGAAUUAUUUGAUGAAAACAUUAUCUAAAACAUGAUUAAUUGACAUAUUUAAAGUCAAAUAAAAAACAAAUCCUGCUUACUUUUAAUAUUAAAAAUUAUUUUUUAAUCUAAACUCUUUAGCAUGAAAAUUUAACAAAAUUAAAAUAAAUUAUGAUUACUAUUUGAGCGAUUGAUUUGAUCUUCGGCCCCACAAUUAUUUUUGUUAGUCUGUGAAUGUUUUUCUUCAAGCUUGUGAAACUGGAUAUUCCUCUGUAAUGUAAGUUCCUUUGUUUUUUUUCUUCGUAGACUUGAAAAGUCAUUUGUUCGAACAUUUGAUUUUCUGAUAAGUCAAUCAUCCACUGCAUCAAUCUCUAUCCCAUUGUUAGUCUGUGAAUUUUCUAUGCUGAAUUAUCCAAGGGAGACUUGGGCUUCAUUGAAUGAGAGAGUCUUCACGGCACAGAUCGCUCGGUUUGUGGUGUUGGAUUAAAGGAUAUUCCAACUUCUUGUUUACUGCUUUGCUUUUCUCCGUAGACUUGGGAAGUCAAGAUUCCUAUAAUCCACAUCAUCAAAAAAACCCAAAUCGAUAAUGUGGUGUUGGAUUAAAGGAUAUUAAUUCCAACGUCUUGUUUACUGCUUUACUUUUCUUCAUAGACUUGGGAAGUCAGGUGCUGUAUAUGAACAAUUGAUUUGAUCUUAUGAAAUACAUGGCAGAAGAGAUUAGAAAAUGAUUAACAGAUAUAUACAUCUCAACCAUACCAAUAUCCAUAAAGAUUCAAUGUAAAGUUACUUGAAAUAUAAUUAACUUUAUGUGUUAACUAAAAGAAAAUUGAAAGCAUAGAACCUUGGUUCUUUAAGCCACCAACUAAUUGGUUGUCGCUUAAGUCGAGAAUCUCCAGUUCUUUGAAAGGCAGAAACAAAGACGCAUUGAGAUACAAGUCUUCGACUGCAUUGAGAACAUCAUAAUUUACGCUAUAAAGAUUUAGUUCGAUCACUCGGUUUGUGGUGUUGUCACACACAACCAAAUCCCAGUUACAGCAAUUAAAAUGCUCUUUAUCCCAACCUUCUAGCUGAUGGGACCCAGGUGCACCUGCAUGAUUGAACCAAGCUUUUAUCUCUAAGAGACUAACUCUCUCUUCCUCCACACAACAAUGGCUCCGGUCGUUGACGAAGGACAGUGCCAUGAGCAGCAUCCACACCCACAUUUGCCUCAUCUUCAUAUUAACGCUCCUACUUGACAAAAUACAAAAGCAAGCAAGCUAUCUCUUAUAUACAAUUUUGUCCUCUUCAUGCAUUUGAUCGGACAGUGACAAUUAUCUGUAUCAUUGAAUUUUCUAUGCUGAAUUAAUUAUCCAAGGGAGACGUGGGCUUCAUUGAAUGAGAGAGUCUUCACGGCACAGAUCGCUCGGUUUGUGGUGUUGGAUUAAAGGAUAUUCCAACUUCUUGUUUACUGCUUUGCUUUUCUCCAUAGACUUGGGAAGUCAAGAUUCCUAUAAUCCACAUCAUCAAAAUGAAUGUGAUCGAAGAAAGGAAAAAAUGAAAAAAAAAAAAAAACAUUAACAGUGGCUUACAAAAAAUAAAUAAAUAAAUAAAACCAUCAAUUACGAGCUUCAUAAGAUAAUUUUAGCUUAAAAAAACCCAAAUCGAUAAUGUUUUCUUUAACAUUGGUAUCCGUUUAAUCAAUCUUCUGGUUUGAUCCUUGAUAGUGCUGUGUUUUGAUGCUUGUCGAUUAGCCACAAUAAUGUUAAAUUUACAAGGACAGAUCCAAGAAAAGCAAUGCAGGCCUGUUUUGGUCUCUGGGAGUCCCCUGAUAAAGGCUGCAACUAUUGCUUGAACCCUUGUAAAGGGGCCUUUACACAUGCGGUCCACUGAGAAGUACAACACCGUUCUUUAUUUAAUUCUUAUGGUUUAAAUCUACUAAUAACUUAGUCAUUUUGCAUGCUAUUUUUCCACUUGUUUUGUAAAAUAGAGAAAAGAACUGUUAAGCAUGCUGGAUAUUUCGCAUAAUAAGCUCCGGGUCCUUUAUCCUCUUGUUUGUCCAAUUUAACUUUCAUGGCAAACGAUGCAAAAUGCUAUGUAUCUUUUACUUGGCCUAGUAUUCAAUAUUUUGAUCAGUCAAAUCUUGUACUCAUGGGUUUGCCUCAAGUAGGCGAUUCUUAUCGGGAAAAUAAGUACACAAACAACAUUGCAGAUUAAUCUGUCGAGUUCUCAACAAAAAGACAGUCAUACUCCUAUCGAGAUGUGACGCGGAACAAUAAGUAAAAAGAAUUAAAGCAAGAAAAGAAAGAAGCUUUAAAGAAGAAAGAAGCUAAAGAAGAGGAGGAGAGGGGUUGGAGAUGUGCAAAUCUGCAAUUUUCAUUCAUUCAAAAAAUGUCUUCCCAAAUGACAAAGAGCAUAUAAAUAGUCUCAACCUAGAACAUCCUGCUAUUGGGCUUGGCCCAUCAAACCAAAUUGUUUAACAUAAAUAAUAAAAAUAACAAUGAGCAAGCCCAAAUGGGCUAAAUAAAUAAAAUUACAAUGAGAUAGGCCCAAUGGGCUUAGUCUCCCAACCAAAGCGUGACAGGCUGGGCCAUCCUACGUCGUCUCCGUCCAUAUACUCGUGUAAUCUGUGGCGUGGGCCUGGUGUCCUCACCAACUCUCCUGGGGUUAGAGAAACUCGACCUUGUCGAGCGUAGCAGUGGCCGACUCUGAUAGUACUCCCAAAGAUCUGGGUCAAGCUGCUGCAAAGUAUCUCUAGUAAUCCAAGUGCAGUCUGAGUCGGGUCGACCCACCCAGCGAACUAGAAACCGCUGAAUCUCACCAUUCCUAUUAAAAACAACUUGUUCAUCCAGAAUAGCAUCAAUAUUAUCCUUUUGUGCUGAUGUCAAAGUAAAAAGGGAUAGGGGUUUAUUAGGAUCAUCAGGAGGGGGUUAAGUGGUGUUCAAUGGGUCAUUUGGAAUAGGAAGUGGUUUGUGGUAUGCAACUAGAUCCUCAAUGUUAAAUGUAGAGCUAAUGCCAAAAUCAUGUGGUAAAUCAAGAACAUAAGCAUUUGGACCAACCCGUUGUAGCACUUUGAAAGGCCCGCACUACGUGCAUGCAAUUUUCGAUUAGCUCCCGAAGGAAACCGUUCGGGUCUAAUCCGUUAUCAUAGUCUCCAACAUUAAACUCAUUAUGUCGUCUAUGUGCAUCAGCUUGAAGUUUAUAUUGCGCAUUACUUGCUUGAAUUUGUUUAGUGAUCUCAAUAUGCAAAUCCUGAAUUCUACGUGCAAAAGACUCGGCUGACUCAGACACUCUAGCAUGAAGGGACAUGGGAAGAAGAUCUAAAGGUUUCCUAGGCUUGUAACCAUGUACAACUUCAAAGGGACUCAUGCCUAUUGACCUAUUGAUGAGCUAUUAUAGGCAAACUGGGCUAGGAAGAAUCAGAUCCCAAUUCCGAUUAUGAUCACUCACUAGACACCUUAAAAGGUUACCCAAACUCCUGUUAACCACCUCAGUUUGACCAUCAGUUUGGGGUGGUAAGCAGUAGAAAACUUCAAUUUGGUUCCCACCAUAUGCCAAAGGGUUUUCCAGAAAUAACUUGUAAAUCUAACAUCCCUAUCUGAAACUAUGGUUUGGGGAAGGCCGUACAACUUGACAAUCUCGUCAAAAUAGAGUUUUGCGACUCUGGAAGCAUCUGUGGUCUUAGUACAAGGAAUAAAAUGGGCCAUCUUAGAGAAGCGGUCGACAACCACAAAAAUAGAAUCAUGUUUCUUUGCAGUACGUGGAAGCCCAAGCACAAAAUCCAUGCUUACAUCUUGCCAAGGGCAAGUAGGCACGGGUAAUGGAGUGUAAAGACCAGUAUUUUGUUUUCUAUGCUUAGCGAGUUGGCAAGUUCGACACUGACCUACUAAUUUGGCGACAUCUCUUUUCAAACUAGACCAAAAAAACUGACGUUCCACUUCUUCGAUGGUUUUAUUCCUUCCAAAAUGUCCUGAGAGACCUCCAACAUGAAUCUCCCAUAUCAAAAAAUCACGCACAGAUGUUUUCAGGAUACAAAGCUUAUUAUCUCGAAAUAGGUAUCCAUCUUGGAGGUGAUAACCAUUUAUAACACGGUGAUGCGCAUCCUUCAAUGUCAAGUAUAUUUCUCCAAAUUCUAGGCAAGAUUCAUACUCCUCCUUAAGUCUCUCAAAUCCUGUGACUCCAACACUCAUUACAGAUAACAACGUCACCCGACGACUCAAAGCAUCUGCAGCCUUAUUCUCUAUUCCAGAUUUAUGUUUCAAAACAAAUGAGUAUGCUUGCAAAUAUUCAACCCAAUGACCAUGCCUAUUGUCGCACCCUAAAAAAAAUCAGCUCGCGGCAUCGGCUGGCGAUUUUUCUCGUUUGUUUGUCGUUGCUUGAAUUUGGUUCGUUGGAGUCGCCACCUAGUAAUUGAUUGCGGGCUACUAGGAAACCGGCUGUACUGGUCUUGUCAGAGAUUCGUGGGUACGGGACUGGUUGUGGUUAGGGAAGGUAUUAGCACCCCUAACACACCCUACCUGAGGUAAGCUGCUUCGCGAAUUUGAUGUAUUAAAGAAGUUUUAAUAAUUGUCUUUUCAUCAGAAAUUAGAAAUAUCACUUACGUAUAAGUUAAUAAUUCUUAACCAAGAUCCGAUCAAAAUAUUAAAUUCUUCUUUAAUAUAUUUGCAAUUUUAUCAUUAAAAAAUAUAUACAAAUAAAUAAAAACAAAAUACAAACACACACGUACACUUCCACUAUUUUUGUUUCUUUUCUUUUUUUCUUUUCUUUUCUUUUACAUCCAUAUUUACAAAACAAAUAGACAAUCCAAAAAAAAAUAAAAAAAAAAUACAUCAAACAAUUUAAAAUUACAAAACAGCCCCUAAAACAUCCUAAGGCUUCUAGAACAUGCAGGAACAGUGCACGAGAACAGUGCUGGGAGGCUUCUGGUGCAGAGAAUCAGUUGAUGCUUGCCAUUUGUUCUCAGUUAUACUAAGAAAGAAUGAACCGCGACUCUGUCCACCAUUCUCUCCUGUGCAUGAACAAAUCAGUGAAGGAAUAUUUGCAGUGAUAAAUAUGUUAAUGGUUUCCUGACUUCAUUAGAAUAUUUUGCUCCCAUUUUCUUUGCUCCAUGAACUGAAUAUAUAUUGCAACAUAAUUGUGGUGUUGUCAAUCACGGCAAUUAUGCACAUAAAUCCUUACUGGCGCCGCAGGUGGUUUUACUUCAUUGAAGAAUCGCAACUAUUAUGCUGCUGUUUUCUAGCGGUUAGUUUCCGUAAGCUGUCCAACAUCAUGUCAUCGAACCUCUGUAUAAUCAUUCAAUUAGAUGACACAUUUAAAAAUUUUAAAAACUAAUAAUACUAUAACUAUGAAGAACACCUAAAAUAUUUAAUUUUAUUCUUCCAAGUCUCUGCUAAACUAAUUAUACACAAUUGUGGUACUAGCAAUUGCGGCAGUUUUGUACAUAAACCCAUAUUGGCGACAUAGGUGGUUUUACUUCAUAGAAGAGUGCAUGGAGACUUGCUACUACUUUGAAUUGCAUACAUUUCAUAAGCUAUCCUCCUUCAUAAGGCCAUAGGGUCUGACGCGUGCCUUUUGUUUUUUCAUAUUUUUUAGUUUGAACUAAUAAAACCUUUACUUUUUUUCAAGCUUCAGUUAAUUUUAUUGCAGUUUCUCAAAUGAAUUCUACAAAUUCAAGAUAUAUAUGCAUCCUUAAUGCCAUAUUAAAGAGAAUAUAUAGAUAGGAAGAAGAGGAGCUUUACGUGAUAUGGAUAGCGAGAUGCUCCUAAGCCUAGAACCAGCUAAAACUUAAUAUUAUGAUGAAUAAUUCAGCAAAACUUAAUUCAAUUUCAACUUCCAUUCUCAUCAUUAGUACAAAAUGCAGAGUCAGAUUGAAAGGAAAAUGAUUGGAACUUGAAAUUCAGGUAACAAUACAUCUAGCAGAGCUUCCUCCUUACCCUCUCCCUAUUGUAUCUUCUUCGAGUGGAACUCUUAGCUUUUUGCCCUCCAAGAUAAAUGUUCUCAUCUUUCUCCAGUACUCUCUGAUAACUCAGAGAGCAGCCGCCCUGUAUAUUCCCUUUUUUUUUUAUUAUUAUUCAAAACGUUAUAGAGAAGUUCUUUUACAGAGAAACCCUUUUUAAGAUAACCAUCUAGAUAAAUAACAUUAAUCCCAUAUAUAUCAGGAUAUAUACAAUUACAAAAUAUUAAAAUAUAAUUUUUAUUUUAAAUUUUACAGCUCACGCUAACAUUAAUUCCUAAACAGUACAGCUCACGCUAACACUCUCUUUUCCAUCCAGCAUAAGCAGUCACAACUUACCUCCACGGAAAACUUUAUAGCCAACUUCAACCAAUAUUUAAAAGGAAUUUUGUCCUAUGUUUGAUAAGCAAAAUCAACAGAACCUGUCGUUGACUUUCUAGCUCAAAUUUAGCAGUAGCCAUUUUAAGGAGCAGAAACAAACACUGUACUUUUAUCAUCACGAAAAUCUGGUUGAUUUAUUAUCACGAAAAUCGAAAAUCUAGUUGAUUUAUCAUUACGAAAAUCUAGUUAAAACAAAUUAAUAUGAAAUCAAAUCGAGGAUGAAAGGUUGAUUUUGAGAUCAAGAAUAGCAUGUAUUAAAAAGAUAAUAAAUAAAAUUAGAGUAAUAACAUUGAUACAACUUAUCAUUAAAUUUCAUUUGCAAUUUCCUCUCGAUUUUCUGUAGUUCUGUAGAGACAUAGAUUAGUUGGUUCUUACGGGAAUUUUUCUUCCUUAAUUUCACUCCCAUUUCCCAAACGAUGGAAUUCAUACAACCUUUCGAUUUUAUUUCCACGUAAAAUCCAUUCUUCUCUAUCAAACAGAACAUAAUAAUGGGCCAUAUUUUAAUUUAAAUAUAUUUUUCCUAAUAUUUAAAGUUUUUUUACUGGGAAAAUAUCAUGGGGAUUUGAGAGAAAAGACAAUAGAUAAGAAAGGACAAGAAAAAAAGUGAGAGAAAAUGAUGGUGGGUCUUCAUUCUUCAGGGACCGUAUUGGAACUCUUUGGAGGCAUGCGUGAGAGGUGAAAUGGGAAAGUAUAGGGAACAAAGUGUAAUGUCAAUGAAUAUAUAGGGCUUAAAAUGCAAUUUACCCUUAAUUUUUUCGUGGAUGACGCAGUCACAAGGAGAGGAUAGAUGUCAUUUCUGAAAUGAUAAGACAGAAGUGACAAUAAGUAAAAUUUCGUAAAUCAUCAUCAAUCAAAAAUCAUGACGUGGGGACAAAUCACAUAAUUGAUUGAUUUUACAACCCUUUAAAACAAACUCAUCAAAAUAUUUAAUCCAAAUUCUGAAUAAACAACAAUAUCUAAUGUAGAUAGGUUUGAAUAAUUUGAUGAUUAUUAAUAGUCAAUUGUAGAUUUAUCACAAUUAGAUCAUAUAUAUAAAACCCAAUAAACUCAUAAUACGAACAAAUAUAACUGGGCUAACUUAAGAAAAAAAUACAUUGGUGCAAAAUGACUAGUCUAACUAAAAAAGUUUAAAUUUUAAUUUGACCUCAUGGAAAUCAUUCUCAAAUUUAAUUAGGAGAUUUUAUGGUUUCUAUUCUAUAAAGGGUGUGUGUAGGCUUGAAAGAAGUUAUGCGUGCCAAUUUCGUUAUUUUUUUAAUCUUUUUACAAUUCUAGUUUAAUUUUGGAUUUUAUAUUGUAAGAACCUAUAUCAUAUCAAGAUUAAAUUUCAGUAAAAAAAAAUAUUAGAAUUCUAGUUGUGGAGAGUUUUUUUAUAUAUAGAAUUACGUUUUUCUUUGAGCUUGUUUUUUUCUUAACCGGAUCAACUACAUCAAUCUCCUAAAAAAACGAAAAAAAAAAAAGUUGGGAAUGAAAACUUAAGUGAAAUUUAACAGUCUGCAACAACAAUCCUUUACCGUCCACCAUGAAAUGAUCAACAGGUUUUUUUUAAGGACAAUAUAAAUUCUGAAAGAGCGUAGACAUGAAUGACAGCCAAGAACCACCCAACAGCCAUGCAGGGUCUAGUCUGCAUGGCAAAGGUCCCCUCAAUCGCUGAAUCCACAUGAACACAGUCUAAUGAACUGCUAACAUGCAUUUGGUUGUGGUAAUUCAAUUAUGCGAAGGGUGUCGGUCCGAAUUCUUCAACUUAAACGAACAUGUUUGCGUAAUUAAGUGUUCAAUCACGUACUUAAUUUGCUAUUGAAAACAUUUAGAAUUUAUCAACAAUUUAAUUAAGCAGGUGUAUACAACCUCCCAACAUUUGUAGAUAUCAUUGAAUCAUUAGUUAACACCAAGUAGACUGAGAUCGGAUCAAAAUGUGUCACUUAAGCUCUUAAUAUUACAGAAAACUUACAAUUGCCCUGAUGGUUAAUUAGCACAAAAGACCGGCUUGGAGUUCAGACUAGCCAAAUUGCCCAACUCUUUAAGCCUGAAUUUUAUCACCAUCAUAAAAUGGGAAAAUUAGUUUAGAUAUACAAGGCGAAAUGGAAUUAAUUACCUAACAAUUUGAACUUCAGAUUGGUCAUGCAUGACCACUUGCAGGUCCUCCUAGUGUUAGAACCACACCUUGAAGAUCACUUCUUGGAUCUGAUUCUUUGGCUAAUGAUGGAGCAGCUCUGAUUACCGGAUAUGUUCUGGUCACUUGAGUUUGUCGAGAACUAUGACUGGAUUGUCCUGAGAAUGUUUUUGGAUGAUGAGAAGGCUUCAAGGUAUCAGUAUGAAAUUCAUUCGAAGCACCACCCAGAAACCAGUGCUCAAAAAGCCCCUUUAUAAAGAUAACUAACAGAGAAGGUCACAGACAGCAGAGGAGGUCAGCAUCACCAUCGAUUUCCUUUCUCCAGAAGCAGGGGUUUACCACCACAUCAACACCCAUCUUCCCCGAUCUCUUCAUCUCCUUUAGCACUGAAGAGAAACCGAACGGUGGAGCAGAGAACACAGACAGCAGAGGAGGUCAGCAUCACCAUCGAUUUCCUUUCUCCAGAAGCAGGGGUCUACCGCCACAUCAACACCCAUCUUCCCCGAUCUCUUCAUCUCCUUUAGCUCUGAAGCUUCCUCCAGCAGUGGCCAACACACGGCAGCCCCUACAAAACCAAAAUGAGAUAAAUCUCAAAGAGAAAGAAAGACUCGAACUUGUGUAGCAGAUCUGGACCGAGAUCCAGCCGCCAUCAGCUCUGGCGAUGCCUAACAACCAGAUGUGCUACAGGGAUGAACUCUCGGGCAACAAACAGUGAUAGACUCGAAAGAAGCCAAUCUAAAGGAGGAGAAGGAAAAAAACGCAGAUCUGUGAAAAAAAGACAAUAAUCGAAACUCAAUUAAGAAGAAAUCAUCGCACAAACAAUCUCCCGGACCGGUUGUUGAUUUGGAUCCUUUCCCAAUUGAGGAUGGAAGACUACGGGAAAGAGGAGAUUGGUUGGGGUGGGGAUUGAAGCUGUGAUUUGGGAUCGGUUCAGUUUAUCAAGCAGACUUCAAGAGGUAAGACCCUAUACAAUAACAGUAACAACAAAGAGAACUUUUCAACCCAGCCAUGGAGGGGAAAGCUCUCUCUCAAAAAGCCCAGCCACCGUUCCAGACAAACUUAAUUCCUUCUCACAAACACAAAAAAGAACUUGACCUUCCAUACAAGCCAUAUUACCCCCAGCCUCAGCUACCAUCCAUCACCUUAAACACUCAGACUUCAACAAACUACCGUGAUUUUCAACUACAAUGUUACUUUGAAAACUUCCUAAGUUGGGUCGAUUACCAUAAGCUUAAAGACUGCUUCAGAAAACAGGGGAAAGUUAUUAAGCUGUUUGUUUCUCGAAAAACAAAUCAAGCAGGAAAGCAUUUUGGCUUCGUCACCAUCCUCUCGAAUCUGUCAGACAAAACUCUGCUAGAAUGCUUAAAUGACAUAUGGUUUGAUUCCUACAAGCUGAGAGUUAAUGUGGCUAAGCACAGAAGAAAAGAUGUAGUGACGAAACAGAAAAUAAUGGGAACCGGGAAACAAAUACCCAAGCUCAACAACAAAGCCAAGGCCCCCAUCCGUGUAAGAGACAACCGAAGCUAUCUUGAGGCAGUAAGAUCAGGGAGUCAAGUGCAUCAAGCGUCUGAUAAUGCCACACCACGUCAUCAUAACUUCAUUUCUUUCAACACUACAGAUGAGGAAAUUCUAUGGUUAAGAAAUAGUCUUAUAGGCAAGAUAUCUCAGGGAGUAGAUUAUGCACAAAUCAGACAUGGAUUAAUUCAGCUAGGCAUUUGCUUCUCUGCUUUCCGUUUCCUAGGGGGAUCACAGGCAAUCAUAAGCUUUGAUGGUGAGAAAUCUAUGCAACAAGCCAUGCAGAAAGGUAUGGAAUGCUGGAGGCUCUACUUUGAUGAAGUUCACCCGUGGACUGAAGAAGAUGUGACAGAGAGUCGUCUAGCAUGGAUCUCUAUCUCUCAUUUGCCUAUCUCUGGCUGGAGUUUGAGAUGUAUCUCAAACCUUCUCAUGAACCGUGGACGGGUGAUAGGUUUUGACAAAACCAGCCUAAAAAUCUCUGAACUUCACAGUGUGAAAAUCCUUAUAGGUACUCACUUGCCGGAGAUCCACGACUCUAUAGCUCUCAUGCUAAACUCCAAGUUAGUACACAUAUAGCUGGAUGAGAUUGACCUUUUAAGAUAUCCAGAGGCAAAAGGAAUUUCAUACUCGAUGGCAGAAUUUCAAACCACAUUACUUCAGGGAGAUAGUGCUGACAGUGACUCAGAUGAUGAAGUGUACACUGAUCUUGCUUUUGACUUGGCAGGAGAUGACAACAUUUGCAGGCUAGGUAUCACUGAUAAGAAUUGUGGAUCUGAUGACAAGGGACACACGAUGGAGGUAAGGAAGCACAACCCAUAUGGGACACAUGAGGUGUACGAUCAUAGCUUUGCGUCCACAAUAAAUGCCAUUGACAACACAGAACGGCUACAUAUCGUUGUUGACGAUCUCUUUUACGAUGUGAAUUCAGCAAGCCCACUAGAGCAUCCAAGCAUGGCUUUCAAAAGAGACUCCUUCUUGCCACAACCUUAUACCCCUGUUAGCAGUGAUGAUUCUUUAGAAUCCCACUUCAAAAUCCAAAGCCUACCUCUUACAUCUAACCAACAACAGACCCCAACAGCCAAACAACCAAGACUAAAGAAAAUAUCCUCUACUAGGAGUCUCCUCUCCUUGCACUCUUCAGCAAGCAUGUCUUCUAUAGACUCUUACAUCAGGGUGAAUAAUACCCGUAACCUGAAAGAAUAUGCAGCGGAAUCGUCCCACAAUGAAGUCAACAAAAUGAUCCGUUUGGGAGAAGCUUUGGGUCUUGGUAAUUCAGCUCUCUUGGAACAAUUUUCUGGUCUUAUCAUAAGACAGCUAGAAAAGGAGAAGGAAGAUUGGCAGAAACAACAAUGAAUAGUAAGUUUUCAUCCCCUGCAGAUAGGCCUUUUAAUUCUGUCAUGAAUAUUCUUUCUUGGAAUUCCUGUGGCUUGGGCAUGAUGAGGAAACGAAGAAGAAUCACGAAAUUAAUAGCAGAAUAUAAGAUUGAUAUAUGUUUCAUGCUGGAAACUAAGCUAGCUAAUUGUUCCAUUGGUUUUGUAUCUCGUAUUUGGAAUGAAAAUCAUGUGAGUUGGUUUAGUAAUGAUGCUCAAGGAUCAAAAGGAGGUCUGCUUGCUAUGUGGAAAAACACUAACUUUGAAGUCUCUAAUAUUGAAUAUGGUCAUGGUUGGAUCGGUUUAUAUGGUAAACAUGUUCACAGUGAUUUUCAUUGCUUUGUUAUUGGCAUCUAUGCUCCUUGUAACUAUCAGGACAGACAAAAACUUUGGGAGGAUCUCAUUCUUCUGAAGCAUGCUUUUGAAGUUCCAUGGAUAAUAGCAGGAGAUUUUAAUGAAACGCUCUCUCAGAAAGACAGAAACAGUGGAAUUUGUCAUCCUGCAGGCUCAAAUUCUUUUAGCAGAUUCCUGCAGUCUUGUGAGCUCACUGAAUACCCUUUAGCAGAAGGUUAUUUUACCUGGUUUAGAGGAAGGUCCAAGAGCAAACUAGAUCGAAUGUUCGCAAGCUCAACCUACCAUCUUCACUUCCCCAGUUUAUCUCUUCGACGACUUCCAAGAGAGUUCUCAGAUCAUUGCCCUCUAAUUCUAUGUAGCUUCUUGCAAGACCAUGGAUGGCGUCCUUUUCGUUUCUUGGACUGUUGGACUCAAUACCCAAAUUUCAAGCACAUUAUUGAAAGCUUCUGGAAUGAUGCAUGCUCCCUUCACCCUGGCCGCUUUAAAUUUCUCAAAAAGCUUAAUCAUAUUGCAGUCAAAUUGAGGCAAUGGAAUAAGCUUGUAUUUGGAAAUCAAGAAGCUGGCCUUCAACGAACCCUUUCAGCUAUCAACAUACUAGAGGAAAAAUGUGAAGAAGAAGGUUUAACCGACCAAGAGCAGGAGCAUUUAGACUUUUUGUUGAAAGACCGCUGGGUUCGCAACAAUCACAUUGAAUCUAUUUGGAGGCAGAAAUCAAGACAGAUGUGGUGCAAAUUGGGUGACAGAAAUAACAAGUUUUUUCACAUGAUUGCCAAUUUCAGGAAGGCUAAAUCAUCAAUACUUAAAAUCCACCAUAAUGGCAACACUUUUGACUCUCAGCAGGGAAUUAAGCAGGCUGCUGUGGAUUAUUUCUCUGAGCUGUAUGACUCUCCCUCUGGUAAAAAGCCGCAGUUAAAUCCUUUGGGUUUCAAAUGUCUCUCUAAAGAAUCCUCUGAAUGGUUGGAGCAAGAAAUCACAAUGGAAGAAGUGAAGCGCGGUGUAUGGGGUUGUGAUGGGUCAAAAUGUCCUGGACCAGAUGGUUUCAACUUCAAAUUCUACAGAUUAGCAUGGGAUUUUAUUGCUCAAGACAUUCUCGAUAUAGUCUUAAGCUUCUUCAGAACAGGAAGGCUUCCCAAAGGAAUCAAUACAACCUACGUAACUCUCCUCUCUAAGACAGUCGAACCCAUUGAGUUUAAAGAUUUUCGGCCCAUCAGCAUGAUUCAUGGUAUUUAUAAGAUCAUUGCUAAAAUCCUUGCUUCUAGACUGAAAGUUGUUAUGCAAGAUAUCAUUAGCAUUAACCAAUCAACGUUUAUAGCAGACCGUAACAUUAUAGAUGGCUUUAUGAUUGCAAAUGAGCUGGUGAAUGAUCUAAAAAAGCAAAAAGCGGCAGGUUUGAUUUUCAAGAUUGAUUUUCAUAAAGCUUUCGACUCAGUCUCCUGGGAUUACCUAGAUGAUAUCAUGGGUUAUAUGGGGUUUGGUAGAAAAUGGAGAACCAUGAUUUAUGAAUGUCUUUCUUCAUCAAAACUCUCGGUUUUCAUCAAUGGAUCUCUUUCAAAAGAAUUCUCUGUUCGGCGAGGGCUGCGUCAAGGAGAUCCGAUUUCCCCUUUUCUGUUUGACAUAGCUGCUGAGGGCCUCUCUGUACUCUUUCAAAGGGCAUCUAGUGGGAAUAUUAUCAAAGGGCUGCAAUUUGCAUUAGGAAUUUUUGUCAGCCAUCUUCAAUAUGCAGAUGACACAUUAAUAUUCAUCCCAGCAGAUAUUGAUCAGUUAGUUCAAGUCAAAAGAAUUUUAAGAUGGUUUGCUCUGUCUUCAGGCCUUCAUAUAAACUUCCAUAAAAGAUCCAUUAUUGGUAUCAAUGUCGAUGAUCACUUGUGCUUGCGCUUGGCUACAUCUAUUUUCUGCAGAUCAGACUCCCUCCCAAGCAAAUAUCUUGGCAUGCCAUUAGGAGCCAAUCCAUCUCGUAUCUCCACAUGGAAGCCAGUGAUAGAGAAGUUUCGUAAAAGGCUUCAUAUAUGGAAGGGGAGACUACUAAGCAUGGCUGGUCGUCUAUGUCUCAUUAAAAGUGUCCUUAAUUCCCUGCCUAUAUAUUUUAUGUCUGUAUUCAAGAUGCCAAAAGGGGUAGGCAGGCUUCUUUCAUCCAUCCAAAGACGUUUCUUGUGGUGUGGAUGUACCAAGCAAAGAUCUUUCUGCAAGAUCCAAUGGAGAAUAGUGAUGCGCGAUAAGAAACAAGGAGGCCUCGGUGUAGGCUCCCUUAUAUCAAAAAACAGAGCCCUGCUUCUAAAAUGGAUUUGGAGACUCUCUUCCCCAGGUACAAGCUUAUGGAAAAUGAUUAUCUCUUCAAUGUACAAUCCAUCUUAUGAGAAUGGGAUCCCAAUUUUCUACAACCAACCAUCCAAGAUAUGGAAGGAUAUUAUGUCCAUCGUUCAAACCGACGUUCACCAAGUCUUCACGAAUCAUUGCAAAUUCAUGGUGGGGAAUGGCAAUUUAACAUCCUUUUGGCUAGACAGCUGGAUUGGUGACGACCCUCUCAAAACAGCCUUCCCAAGGCUAUAUCUUUUGUCUUCCUCUAAAACUGCUUUGGUGGCUGACAUGGGUAGAUGGAGCAAUGGAAUCUGGCUCUGGUCCCUACAAUGGCGCAGACCUCUUUUUCAUUUUGAACAAGAACAACUAUCACUUUUAUCAUCCUUGCUGGAAUCCAAGCCAAUGUUCUGCCACAAGAUGGAUAAGAAAAUCUGGACCCUCAACAACGAUGGCCUCUUCAGUGUAAAAUCUUGCUCCAAAAUGAUGGACCAGUUACUCUACGGUGGAGCCAAACCAUUCCAAUCUUCUGUUUGGAUAAAACUAACCCCACCAAAAGUGCAGCUUUUCCUUUGGCUCCUUGUCCAAGACAAAGUAACCACAAGAGAUUUCCUAUUUCAACGCGACUACCUCUCCCUUCAGGAGUCAAGAUGUGCUUUCUGCAAUAAAAGCUUGGAAUCUUCAAGUCACCUCUUCAUUCACUGCCACUUCUCUUGGAAUAUAUGGAUGAAACUGUUUUCUAAUCGGGGCUUUUGCAGUGUUUUUCCAAAAUCUGUUGAUGAUAUGUGCUACCAAUGGUCUUCUAUGGUUAAAGGCAAGCAACAAAAUCUCUCAUGGCAACUUCUUUUCUCAUGCGUUGUUUGGAAUCUUUGGCUUCAUCGAAAUGAUGUUAUUUUUAAUGACGCUGCCCCUAACCAUCAAAUCUGUUUCUCCAUGGUGCGCCAAAGUAUUGCUUUAUGGUUGAGGCUUGACUCCAACUCUUUCGAGCUUAACAUAGAGAAUGUUUAGUCGGGAGGAGUUGGUUUCUUUUGAUUUGUCUGUUCUCCUUUUGUUGUUAUCCCCUGUUUCAUGAAACAGUUUUUGUGCUUCCCUUUCCUCUGCUUGUUCUUCUGAUGUAAGUUAGGCUACUAUCUUUGUAGCUUUUUCCUUUUAAUAAAAUUUCGACUAUUAACAAAAAAAAAAAAAAAAGGUAUCAGUAUGAUUGGAGUUUGGAAAUUGAUGAACAAUGGGGAUUGGAGUUGCUGGUGAUGCAUGAUUUUGAGCUAGAAUUGCCCCUCUCGAUACGAAACCAGGUGCCUGAUAGAUAAAAUUAGGUUUCAAUACGAGUUCGAAAUAUACUGCAAAUGAGGGAAGUAAUGAGGAGCUUACAGGUGAAAACAAGACCCCUCUGAAAAUCUUCCCAUUAACAGUUGCAGUCAUUAGAAGGCCUAAGUCGAAGGCUCCGUCAACUUUACCUCGAACUUCAGCACCAACCUAUGGAGAAAGAGAAGAAAGUGAAAAGCAAGUAUUAGCAGAACAGGAAGGAAGACAGACAAAAAAAUUUGUAAUUGACAAUGUUUUGCAUUGCAUAUAUCAACUUAAUGAUUUACCAGGUUUUGAGUACACCCUGGCUCCAUGGAUCUAUGUUCCACUGCUGGGAAUGGUGUUCCUUGCCUGCCAAACCCUGCAUGAACAUAUUGUUCUACUCUUUUAUUCUCUUGAAACUUGGAGCCUGUGCCGGGUUUUUUGGAUCACAAGUCUAGGUAGUUUCUGAUUACAUGCAACACUAUCAGCCUGGUAAUUUCUUGGAAUUUUGUAUAAUUAAAUAAUCUAAUCUUAAACCACUACUCCAAUUGUUGAUAUAAAAGUUUAAAACCGAUCUAAUUAAAAGAAUUCAAAAUUAAGUGUGAAAAAUAACUAAAAUAAAAAAUUAAUUCAAAUAACAAAAACAAAAUCUUUUGCAUCUGAUUUGAGAAAAUUUAUGUGGUGGAUGACCGAGCCUGUAAAAUUAUAUGAUAAAAUUUAAGUAUAAUUUAAAAAUUAAAUUUAAAAUUAUUUUUAUCAGGUUUUAUGUCUAAUGUGUUGAAUUUGUUUAUGGAUUUCUAUUCAGGCUUAAUCAUAAACGUCUUUGUUUACACGUCAUAAUUAAAGCAUAAAAUGUCGUGUAAGCCGAUGCUUGACUUUUUUAAAAAAUAAUUUAGUUUCGGUUGACUCACAAAAUUGAGACAUCUAGCUAGUCACUCAUGGCUUUAGACGUACCUCUUGUAAAGAUAUCAACGGCUUUACGUCUACCAAGUGUCAGAAGAUUAGAGAUUGAUAUUGUUAGAAUGUUGUUAAUAUUGUUUGUUAGCUAAGAGAGUUUGUUAGUAUUGUUUCAGUGCUAAGAGAAAGAACAGAUACCGUGUAUUACCUUUCUAAUAUAGCCUAUAUAAACUGAGGAUUAGUGAUGUGAAAAUAAUGAAAGAAAAAGUAAUAAUAAAACAGUGCGAGACUUCAUCUUCUGCUUCUCUGUAACAGAAUUAUUCUAUAUUCUUCUUCCUUUCUAUUCUCUGCACUUUCUUCAUUUCUGCUCCUUUUCUGUAUAAAUUCUACCGUCUAUCAUGGUAUCAGAGCAGUAACUGGUCCGAUGGGAUGUCUUCUGAUUGUCAAGAAUUAUACUGGCGAUCGUCUAAAUUUUGGUUUGGCUGCUAAGCAAGCAAAAUCUGAAGGUUAUAAAGUAGAGACUGUAAUUGUUGGAGAUGACUGUGCUUUACCUUCACCUCGAGGCAUAGCUGGACGAAGAGGGUUGACGGGGACUAUUCUUGUUCAUAAGGUUGCUGCAGCUGCAGUUACUGUUGGCCUUUCUCUUGAUGAAGUUGCUGCAGAAGCGAAACGUGCAUCUGAAAUGGUUCUAAUAUCUUGCUAAUCUCUGUUUCUGUAGAGAGAGCAAUACGGUCUCUUAAGAUUCAUACUUCUCAACAAGCUUGCACAAAGAGUCACUAAAUUGCUUUUGGCCACUUGCCAGAGCAAGUACGAUAGUCUUCUCCAUCAAAUCCUGAAGAAGAUCAAUAUAUAACAAAGAGUCGCCGCCAAUGUAUUACCAGCAGCCAUUAAUCUCUGUUUCUGGCAUUAUUAUCUCCUUAUCUACACAAUUCUUUCAUAAUAAUCGAUAUGUCUAUCAUUUGUUUGAUAUAUUGUCAAACUGAAAAAUUCUUCUUCAAAUCUUCAACUUUCUGCAAGAUUCUUCCUUCUCAAUCUUUGAUUCUCUUCUUUUCUAUCUCUUGCACUCUAAAAAUGGCGACUACUUCUCAACUUCAGAUAGUUCAACUCUAAUAAGAGAAUAUACACAUAAACGUUUUCUUCUUCCUCUACACUACAUAAUUUCUCUCUGCUUCUCUUCAUCUCUAUUCUCUGCUUUUCUUCUCUUCAUCUAUAUUGCUUCUAUUCUCUGCUUUUCUAUUGCAGUAUCUCCCUCUAAUUCUAUUCACUUCUUUGUUCAUCUCUGUGACGAUUCUUGCUAGCUUUUCAAAAUAUUUCUUCUAUCUCCAUUGCUUCCAAUCCAGUGUUCCAUUCCAGGAUGAAACAUCUCCAGAUCGAUUAUCACUUUGUUAGGGAACGGGUUAUCAAGGGUGAUUUACUGGUCCAGCAUGUCUUCUCUACUGAUCAGUUUGCUGAUAUCCUCAUCAAAGGUCUUUCCAUUUCUUUGUUUCAGCAUCAUUGUUCCAAUCUCAUGCUUGGCUCCUCCAAGCCUGCGAUUGAGGGGGCAUGUAAAGAUAUCAACGGCUUUACGUCUACCAAGUGUCAGAAGAUUAGAGAUUGAUAUUGUUAGAAUGUUGUUAAUAUUGUUUGUUAGCUAAGAGAGUUUGUUAGUAUUGUUUCAGUGCUAAGAGAAAGAACAGAUACCGUGUAUUACCUUUCUAAUAUAGCCUAUAUAAACUGAGGAUUAGUGAUGUGAAAAUAAUGAAAGAAAAAGUAAUAAUAAAACAGUGCGAGACUUCAUCUUCUGCUUCUCUGUAACAGAAUUAUUCUAUAUUCUUCUUCCUUUCUAUUCUCUGCACUUUCUUCAUUUCUGCUCCUUUUCUGUAUAAAUUCUACCGUCUAUCACCUCUAACUUCGCUUACUAUGCUUAUUAUGCAAAGCAAUUAUUUUCAAGCUUGUGGAACGGGGUGUUCCUCCAUCUUCUUGUUUAACUGCUUUCUUCAUAAACUUGGGAAGUCAUGUGUUAUGAACAAUUGAUUUGAUCUUGUGAAAUAUAUGGCAGAAGAGAUUAGAAAAUGACUUCUAUUAUCAAUAAUUUCUUCUUCCUUGUGAAAUGAUUUCCCGAUACAGCUCUUAAUUUCAACACCUGCUUGCUCUUCUUUUCUUAGUAGACCUGGGAAGCAAAGAUUCCUAAUUAUCCACAUCAUCAAUCGCGAUCCCAUCAAAAAUGAAUUUGGUGGAAGAAAGAAAAACAAAUUGAAAGAAAAAUUAUCAAUUAAGAUUUCAUGUCGUCACAAAAAACAAUUACGAGCUUCAUAAGAUAAUUUUAGCUAGUUUGUCUUAAACUCAUUAGAACAUCCUUUAAUCUUCAACUGCUGUCAUUUGAGAUUUCAUGUUUGUGUUUUCAAUUAAGAUUACACAUCCAUUUGUCAGAAAUACGCACCAAUAUUCCUUAUUACCUAACCUUAAUCCUGUAAUUCUGAUUCUGAACUGCUCUUUACACUCCUUUUCCAUCGAUCAAUACAGAUCAAUCUUUAUUAUUUGCUCCAGGUUGCUGCUGCUGGUUACUCUGUCAUGGAUUAUUAUUUUUCAGUAGUCAGUUAUCCUAGUGCUUGCUUGGACAUGCUCAACAAUGGAGUUUCUCUAAAUGUAAUUCCCACAGUGAAAUCUUCUGUCAAAGUCAUUUCAAGCCGGAAAAGAUCAGGAAAAUGCAGUCUUGAAACAUCAAGCGAAUAGUGCCCAGCAGGAAAAAUUCGUUUCUACUAACAAAUGGAAUGUAAAGUUGAUCCAAGGAUGCUACUAACUUACAAGAAAUUAAAUCAUCAAAGAAAAAAUAUCCACUAGAAGAAGUGUUCUUUCCUUCUAUUUAAAAAGAAUUCGAAAUUUUACUAGACCCUAAUAACAUGAAGUAAAUCUGUUUUUUUUACUCUUGGCUUGUUCUCAAAAAUUUUAUUGAUAUUAAUUAAAUAACAAAGACAAUGAUGUAGCUAGUAUGAACUAUGAAAAUUGAGAACGAGAGGGAUGAUCAGGAAUGGAUUAAGAAAAAUGGGCUUGAAAGAGACCCAACAGGAGAGAAAAAUCUAAAAUAAACUCUUGAUGUCUUUCAUAACUCAAUUUUUGACUCUUUUUAUUUUAUUAUUAUUACUAUUAUUUUAUUUAUUGAAAAAUGAUAAUAAAAAAAAUAAUGAUGAAAAGAAAAUAAAAAAUGAAGAAUAAAUUAAAAUUAGGUUAAGGCAACAUGAUUGGAAGUUUUGGGGAUUAAUUAAAGUUUGGAAUUAAUUCAAUCAAGGGUUUAAUUGGAGAAUUGAUAAGUUUUGAGAUUAAUUGAGUUUGGAAUUAAUUGAAUUAAUGAAAAUCAAGGAUUUAAUUAGAGAAUUGACAAGUUGUUAGACUUAUUUGAACUUGGAAUUAAUUUAUUCAUGGACUUAAUUGAAAAACCAUCAAAGUAUAGGGCUGAUUAUGGUCAAAUUUGCAAGAAAUUAAAACCCAAGGACCAAUGUGUAAAUGGCGCUGAGAUUCAGGGGUUCAAUUACAAUUUACCCAAGGACUGGACUGCAAAAAGUCAACAUGUCUAGGAUGAAAACGCAAAAGGCCAUUAACAUCAGCACUGUUCAUCUUCUUCACCCGAAAACGCAUGCCUUUAUUGCAUUAAAAUCCAUGCAACCGCAUGGCAUUCUCUGGUUAUAAAAACCAGAGAAGGAGAACGAGCACCAGGUUAGAGAGGGGGAGAGGAGAAAAUAAACAGACUUUCAUUCCUCUGUUUCUUCUUAAGGAAACAGAGGAGGUUAAAGAAAAAAGCAACAAACAGGAGGAAAAAAGAGCAAAACCGGGGGGAAAAAGGGAGAGAAGACAGAGAGAGUGAGCGACCGAAAAGGGGAAAACAAAAGGAAAAACUGAGAGACAGGGGAGAAAAGGCAGAACCGAGGGGACUAAAGGGGGGGAAUAAAAGAAGAAAACAGAGGAGACAAAAACCGGGGAGAGGGGGAGACACAGAAUCAGUUUCAACCAUCUCUUCACCAUCUUCAACAACUCUUCAGCCUCCAGGAACCCAGACAGGAGAAGAAACCCCAUCGACUUGCUUUGGGAAGACGCAGAGUUACAGAAUAGAGAGCGGAGAAGCAUACGAAAAAAAGAGGGGGGCAAGCUUCCAUUCAACCGACAGCACCUAGCAUCUUCAUCACCAUCGUUGAUGUCCUGAGCAGAGGAAACACAGAAGGAAGACCAAGGAAAGCAGUAGACAAGAGUCACCACCAGCGUCACCACUGUUUUUGUCGCCUCCAGAAGCAGCAGCUUCAGAUCUCCAUCUUCAGUAGCCACUGCACCAGAAACAGGGCACUCCAGGAGAGAAAUACAGGGAAGAACCGGGGAAGAAAAGGAGAAAGAGAAGGAAGAAGAGAGGAAGAACAAGAGGUGGCAGCGCCGUUCGUCCAGCGCAGUGCGCCAUCGUCUCCGGCUACGCCUUGCUGCACCAGGUAAGUCUUCUCUCGUCUCUCCCCUCCUGCGUUAUAUUUCACUUGCCACUCUAGCAAGUGAAUUAUAAUUAAUUCACUACCCAACCGGGUCACUGGCUUCGGCCAGUGACCAGACCAGGAAUGUUGGGUCUACCUAGCCAUGUAGGCUGGAUCAGACCCAGCCCCACAAAAAAAAUAAAAAAAAUAAAAAAAAAAACAAAAAAAAACUAGAAAGUGUAGAAAUAAAAAUUUUACAUGUCUUAGGAAAAAUGUAUUUUUGUCAAUUUAUUCACUGAUAUUAGGAUCAGAAAUAAAAAAAAAUAUAUACUGAUUUUUUUUUAGCUAUGAAUUUCUACACCAGAGUUGGAAUUAUUCAUGGUGGAAUUUUUACCAACGCUAGAUUUGGAAUUAUUCGUGGUGGAAUUUUUAAACUCUAGAGUUGGAAUUAUUUGGGGUAGAAUUUUUACCAACACCAGAGUUGGAAUUAUUUGAAAUCGAAUAUUCACUGACACUAAAGUCAGGAAUAUUAUAAACAAAUCAUCAUAGCAUAAGCGAAUAAAUGUUUAGUAAUUUAAGACAAAACCAGCAAUGCAGUCUGCCUCAGGCAGAACAUUUAAAGGGUGAUAAUAUCUUCCCUUUUACAUAACCAAUCCCGAACCAUAGAAUCUCUGUUGACUAGUUAGGGUUUCUAGUGGCGACUCCUUAAACAAGAUUUUUUUCCCCUAAAAGAACAAGAUGCCAGAAAUCUAUUUUUUAUUCUUUUUCCAUAAUGAAGAUUAUUUUUAGAGCCGCCGGGUGCGACAAUGUUUAAAAUAGCCUAGAAGUAGGGCUUAGAUAGCUAGGGCUGAGAAAAUUGCCAAAAUAGGUAAAUACUGAUUAUUCAAUAAAUAAAUAAAAUAUUGCCUUGUUUUAAGUUUAGACUUAUGUUCUUUCAGCAAACAAAAUUAUUGUAGAACCACAUUCCACCUUGCUGGUAUGAUCCUGUGGUUCUAUCAAUUAUUUUAUUAAUUGAGAAAAUACUGUAAACUAUUACAAUUGUGAAUAAAUUCCAUAUUAUUAGGGAUAUAGUAAUCACAAGAAGCCAAGAAAUCUAAGAGCAAAACGCAACAUAAUUAAGACAUAACAAACAAAUAUGGAUACAAGCACAAGAACAAACACAAGUCACAUCAAAACAGAAAGGCUAAGCAACAAGAACCGGACACUUCGACAGAACACUUCUCACAGGCAAAUUGCUAAACAUGCAGUGAUCAACCCUUGAUUUGGAAUGCGACUGCAUCCCCAUAGAGGAUCACAACAAAUUCAGAAAGCAGCCCACACGCUGAUAAGACCCAAUCACCUUUUGAAUCUGGACAACUUGCGAAAGUUUAUAGCCAAAAAGCAGUAGCAAGUGUCAAUGCACUCUUCAAUGAAGUAAAACCACCUGCGUCGCCAAUGCGGAUUUAUGCACAGUACUGCUGCAAUUGUCAACACCACAAUUAUGUAAAACACACCAAAGCUGGCAUAGAAACUGUCCAUGUCUAUUAAUCCAUCAUCUCCAUUGGAAUUGUUAGGCACUCUCACUGAUGGUGAUUCUGUUUUGUCGCAACUGUUUUGCAAUGGAGGUCCACAAAGAAGAGGAUUCCCUUUAUAACUGCUCUCAUCAAAGGUAGCAAAUUGAUAUUUCAUCUCCGGUGUUCUUCCUGACAAAUUAUUGUACGACACGUUGAAAACUGCUAGAAAGUUCAGUUCAACGAGUUGUGCAGGAAUUCUCCCAUUCAAGUUGUUGUGAGAAAGAUCCAAGCUCUCUACGUGCUUCAGAUUGGAGAAAGAUGAAGGGAUCAAUCCCGUGAGAUUAUUUUGUGACAGAUUUAGAGCGAAUAUGUCACUUAAGUUUCCCCAUUCUGUCGGGAUUUCUCCAGUGAAUCUAUUACAAGACAGAUCCAUAGCAGACAUGUAACGAAGGAUAUCGCCCUCGUAAGUGUAGAAAUUUUUCUUUGCUGUAAGCUCUACAGCUAUUUUUACAUCAAUCUCUGGCCACAUAGUUUUGCUAUCAAUAUGAAAACCUCUGUUACCCAAUUUUCUCCCCCCUAUGGAUGCCAAUAUUUCUUUCUGGCUUCCAUCAUCUUCUGACACCGUAUCUGUGACGACCAAAGUUUUUUCACCCGAUGCCGUAAAAUUUAAAUUGCUUAAACAUAAGGGUAACGGACCAGAAAAAUUAUUUUCUGAAAGAUCCAAUAUGCUUAAUUUCCUUAACAAGCAUACCUGAACAGGAAGUUCCCCAUUGAAUUGAUUAGAUUUCAGAAGAAGAAUGCUCAAUUUCGAUAGUCUAUCAAUCCAAUUUGGAAUUGGCCCAGUUAAGUUGUUAUUGCCAAGAUCUAAUGUCACCAAAUGAGAGCUAUUAUAAAAAGCAUUUGGCAGUGGACCACUCAAUCGAUUUCUGUAUAGGUGGACAUAGCGUAAAUAUGGUGUUUGGAAGCCCAACGACAAUGACCCAGACAGAUUGUUUUCAGAAAGAUCUAAAAAUUCAAGCAAAUAACAUCUGAAAAGCUCUAUUGGAAUGGUACCUUCAAAAUGAUUUCUGGACAAGUCAAUUCCCUGCAAGAAUAUUGAAGAGUUCCCAAUUCCCUUUGGAAGCGUGCCUGACAAAAGAUUGUUACUGAUAUCAACCAACCAAAGUGAUGAUGCAAGAGAAAAGGUGCCAGAUACUUGUCCAACAAAUUUGUUUCCAUCUAGAAAGAGGUAACGCAGGUGAGUCAUGUUGAAAACAAAAGGCGGUAAUCGCCCUUUGAAAUUGUUAUUGGACAGCUUCAAAAACCACAACGAGGAGCCUCCUGUAGGCAAGUUAUGCUCAAGUAGUUCACAAGUCAUAUGAUUGUUGGAAACAUCCAAGUAUGCGAGAGAGCUCAUAUUCCCAAAAGGAGGAAUGCAACCUGUAAGGUUGUUGUUAGCCAUCAAGAAGUUCUUCAAACGUGGAAAAAUCAAACAUGUGUUUCUUGCAAUUUGACCAUGGAUGUUGUUGUCAGAAAUAUCUACUGUCCGAAGGUUGGGUGUUGGAUGUUGUGGCAACUGCAAAGGACCUGUAAUUGAGGUGUCUCUCAAAUAUAAUCGAUUUAACAUUCUAUUAUUCUCAACCAGCCAUGAUGGGAAAGGUUGUCCAAUGAAUUUGUUGUGGGAUAGAUCAACAAACAUCAAAUCAUAUUGGCUAUGGAGGAAGUUUGGAAAUCCAGCCUUGAGUGGUUUUGAAGUACAGUUUGAAGCACUGAAAAAACGAAGCUGGAACUUGGUAGCUGAAGGCUGAAAACUGGGUGCAGGUAUUAGCUCAUUGUUAUCGCAUGCAAUGAACUUGAGGUUGGAGUGGUUCAUAAAUGAACCAAAAGAUAUUGGAACUUGAAAGUAAUUAUUUGAAACUGAGAGGUAUUCAAGCUGCGUAAGAUGGGAGAGGUGACUAAAGGCAAUAUUUCCCUCCAAUUGAUUGUCAGAUAAAUCCAAGAAUUGUAGAAAUGAUAGAUUUCCAAGACAAGGAGGGAGCAAGCCCGUUAGUUUGUUUCCUGAGAGAAAUAGCUGUUCAAGAUUCGUCAGUUCACACCAGCCUGCACAUUAUAUCCAUAUGUUCAUGUCAAGGGAAUAGGAAUAUAUCAAUUAUGUACUAUUCGUUGAGAGAUCUAUUCGAAUACAAGUUUAUUAGCGAUUUAAUUUACCUUGGUGAGGCAGGGUGCCAUUUAGCAUACAGCUUUCCAGAGACAAAAUUCUGAGAGCAGGAAACGGUCCAAUAUUUAGAAGAAAACUUGCUGUCAUGGGAGAAGCUCGAUCCAGGAAUAGCUCUUCAAGUUUGGUGAAAUUCUGCGGUCCUAAAGGAUUAAGAAAGGUGCGUUCUUAAUAUCAUUUGAGUUGAGAUUGAAGGAAGCGGAAACAUAAAGGGAUUGGGUUAUUAAAAAAAAAUUAUUAUGGGAAAUUAAAAUCAUUUCCGACAUAAAUUUCUAUUUUAUUGAUCCAUAUGUAUAACCAGCUUAUAAAAGGAAAAACGGAGAAAUUUUUGUUGAUAAAAUUACUAAAUAUCGUCAUAAACGUAAUGGUUUAAUAACAUGAAAAUUCUUUUAUUCUUUCAUGGGAAAUUUUUAGAUUCAUCAUUUGACACAUAUUUUUGCUAUCCGAAGAAAGGAGCUUGAGAUUUGAGUGGUUCAUAAAUGAUUCAACUACUUAACAAAACUGGGACUUGAUUGUAAGACACAUCCACCAGUUGUAAUAGAUGACAAGUUUCUCAAACAAGUUGUGAUGAGGGACACGUAUCUACAAGUUUAAACUCAGAAAGAAGUCUGAAUGUGUCAAAUAAUCUUUUAAUUACCUUGAGCAGGUCCGGUGCCAUGGAAGUCAGCUCUGGUCAAGGAUAAAACUUUAAGAGUAGACAAGGGUCCAAUGUUCCGAAGAAAGCUUGUUGGGAGAGAAGAAUAAUCGAGGAACAUUUCUUCAAGGCUAGUCGAAUUACACAAUCCUGUGGAACAGAUAAGAUAAAUCCAUUAAUGAAAGUGAUAUAUAAAUAUCAUGUUUUAGGCUCCAAACUGUAACUGACCUUUACCAGAGUGUAUUCCUUUAAAUUUGCUCCCAGUAGCAUAUAAGCUCUUGAGGGAUGGCAACGCUCCCAAUGACUCUAUCAAAAUGCUUUCCUUGAAGUCAAUUAUUUCCAGAUACAAGAUUUCUAAAUUCCUCAAACCUGUGAUGGAGAGCACAAUUAAUAAUAAUGGCUUUUUUAUUUUUUAUUUUUUAUUUUUUCCUGAUUCCAAGUGGUACAGAUAUGUGUGUUCUACAAUUUGUUUUAUUUAUGUGUUGUCAUCUGGAAUAAUUUGGAGCACUAUCGUAGAAUGAGCAGGGGUGCAUGCAGAGUAAUUGAUCUAGCAGUUUCCGGCUGCUGUGUUCUACAAAUUUUUGUUCUUGACUUUUUGUUUGCUCUAUCUAGUUGGAAGUUUUAGCUCAAAAUUGUUGAUAUAAAUAAUUUCUAAUGUUAAAGAUUAAUAUAUAAUUAUUAUUAGAAACUUACCCAACAAUUUAAGUCUUUGAAUUAAAUUAAUUUUAAUAUGAUAUUAGAAUUUUAAUAACCAAAUGUUUAUGAAUUUAAAUCAUCUCACCUCCAUUCCUUUAAUAUUUUUUAAAAAAUAAUCAGCACUAGCGAAAGGUAUACCAUGUAAGAAUCCAUAACUAUUUCACUUGAAAAAAUAUGUUAAAGGAAUUAAUUAUAUAAAAGCAUUUAUAGGGCUUCAUUCAUCUGCUUGAUGAUUAAUGCACAGCUAAUUAUUAAAAAAGUUAACAAAAUAAUAAAUUAAGCCUCUCUAAGGAAUGUCAUCGAGGUAGGAAUGAUUUACCAUUGAGACCAAUUGAUCCUGUAAACUUAUUUUUUGAUAGAUGUAGAGAUUUGAGAGUUGAAAAACCACCGAGAGAUGAUAAAAUACUAUCGUUAAAUUUAUUGUCACUCAGUUCAAGUUCCUGCAAUUCCCUCAACCCUGAUGCUAGCUCGUGAAAACCUAUAAGAAAAUUGUCAAAAGCAAAAAAAUUAACAAAUAUAUAUAUUUCAACCAUCCAUUAUCCAUAAAAGUUCAAUGAAAUAUAAAUUUAUGUAUUAAUUUUUUAUAUACCAAUUGUUCCUGUGAACCUAUUGUUUGAUAGAUGUAGAGAUUUGAGAGUUGAAAAACCACCGAGAGAUGAUAAAAUGUUGUCGUUAAAUUUAUUGUCACUCAGAUCAAGUUCUUCCAACUUUCUCAACCCUGAAGCUAGUACUUGAAAACCUGAAAGAAAAUUGUCAGAAUAAAAAAGAUUACACCUGAAAUUUAUUUUUCAUUGAACUUUUUUGGAUAUUGGGAUAUUGUAUGAUAUAUAUACCCCAAUAUCCAUAAAAGUUAAAUGUAAAGUUACUUGAAAUAUAACUUGAAGUGUUAACUAAAAACAAUUGAACCUUGAUUCUCUAAGACACCAUCUAAUCGGUUGUCGCUUAAGUGGAGAAUCUCCAAUUCUUUGAAAGGCAGAAACAAAGAUGCAUUGAGAUCCAAGUCUUCGAAUGGAAAAGAACUUACACCUGAAAGAUGAAGUUCGAUCACUCGGUUUGUGGUGCUGUCGCACACAACCCUACCCCAGUUACAGCAAUUAAAAUGCUCUUUAUCCCAACCUUUUGAUAGAGGUAGUAUAGAUAACCCAGCAGUUGCAUGACUGAACCAAGCUUUUAUCUCUAAGAGACUAAUUCUCUCUUCCUCUAAACAACAAUGGCACCGCUCGUUGACGAAGGCCAGUGCCAUGAGCAGCAUCCACACCCACAUUUGCCUCAUCUUCAUAUUGACUCUCCUACUUGACAAAAUACAAUAGCAAUCAAGUUGUCUCUUAUAUACAAUUUUGUCCUCUUCAUGCAUUUGAUCGGACAGUGACAGUUAUCUGUAUCAUUGAAUUAAUUAUCCAAGGUAGACUUGGGCUUAAUUGAAUGGGAGAGUCUUCACGGACAGUGCUAGCCGUGGGCCCGCACCACGGCACAGAUCAACGUGGUUGUUGAUAUAUAUUUUUUUGUUAUACUAUCUUAUUAUUUAAUUCUUUUUUGUUUUUAUGUUUUAUGUUUCCCUGAUCUACUAUUGCAUUUAGUACCUUAACAAUAUGCAUUCAUUGCCAUCUAGAAUUUCAUUCAAUAGAGCGAUUAAUCAAGAAACUUAUUAUUGACUUUCAUUUAAAUUAGAAUACAUGAAUAAUUUAUGAGUUUGAAAAAUGUUAUCCAUCCAUAUUAAUUACACAAAUUUUAAAAUAAAUUGCAAUUAAGUUUUUCCAAACAAAUAUCAUUACAUAAGGAAUACGUACGUACUCAAGACAUAGGAAGCCAAGUUUCCAAGAUAAUCCAUUAUUCAAUUUUGUGAAUGAUGAAACUUUUCAAGAUAAUCCUUAUAUAAUAAGGUUUGAUCAAUUUUUUCGAGAUUGUGUUAUCAUAAAUCACAUAUCGUUUAAGUUUCCAGCUUAUAAUAAUAAUUUACACGAAUUAUUGGUGAGAAAUCUCCAAAAUCAUUUUAAAAAAGACAAAUCUAUAUGUCUUAUAGUGCUAUCUCUUUUUUUGUGUUUUCAAAUGUUUUUGUAUUAUGUGUACAUUAUAUCAUCUCUCAUACACAAAAUAUGAGACAUAAUAUUUUAUUUUUAGGAAAAAUCUAAUAAUCCCAUAAAUGAUCAAAUAUCAAUUUGCUUUCCCUAAAUAAUAUCACAUAUAUUAUUUCAAAAUAGUUUUAGAAAUUUGUUCAAUCAAGUCUGUACUUAAUUUUUCUAGGUUUAUAAUUGUAAUCACGUGUAUCAACUUCACUUUAGUUCUUAAUUUCUAAAACUUAAUUACAAUCAAGUCACAUUUAAUUAAUCAUCUCAUUUUAAUUUUUGAUCAAUGAUUUUUAAUGUGUGUGGCCAAUUGAGUUCUUAACAAGUUGGCUCAAAUAUAAAUAACAAUCAUAAAUAAAAUACAAUUAAACAAUUUAACAAUUUAACUUAUCAUUAAUUUAACAAAUUAAUUAAUUAAUAUUUGAAAAUCAAGUGCAAUAUUUAAUAACAUGUCAUAACCCUCUAAAUAUUAAAAAGGUCAUACAUGUUUUGACUUAACUUUUUAUUGACUAGUUUCUCAAAGUAAUUAUUAUCCCUUUAUUAAGAAUAUUUUAAUUUAGAUAUUAGAGCACAAAGUAUAUAUGUUCUAUCAAAUCAAAUUUAUUAUCAACAUCAUAGUCAUAGAUUAUUUGAAUAAGAUUUGAAACUCUUUACAAAUCUUAUUACACCUUGCACAAUGAUUUCAUAGUCAAUACUAUUUGUCGCACGUGUAUGGCAUCGCGGCGAUCGUCCACCCUCAAGGAAAAAUGUAAUGGACUAUCUGGUAAAUGUGGAGAGACAAGGAAUUCUUGUCACUUAUCAAUGGAAAAUUUAAAUAGGAGUCGCCACCUAGUAUUCUAGUCACUAGGAACCCUAACUGGUCUUAGAGAUCGGAUACGGAGACUGGUUGCGUAAAGGGAAUGUAUUAGCACCCCAAAUACUCCCUACCUAAGGUAAGCUGCAUUGUUUUGUCUAAUAAAAUCUAAAGUCUUGUUGUGGUUUCUAAUUGUCGGUCCGUUUACAGUUUAAGAAAAGUCCUCUGUAAGGAGAUCCUUAUCUUAUCAGGUAAAACCUAAUUAUUUUAAGUUGUCAAAAGAAAAUACCUUUUUAAUAUCGGGAAUACAUUUUACGUAUAAAUUCAUAAUCUUUGAUACUAAAAUCAAACAAAAUAAAAAUUUUUUUUGUUUUUGAAAUUUUGGUCAAUGUUCUCUUCACUUUAAUAAACUGGUUAUUAAAGCCACAAUGCAUGCUAAAUUUUUUUUUUUUCUGGUGUAUGAAAAACACAAUAUGAUUUUUUUAGCUUUUGAGACACUUGUCCAUAUACACAAAAAGAUUUUUUCUUUUUCUCAAUUUUUUUUGUAUUUUGGAAGUUUUAACAAAAAUCGGGUAUUUUAAUAUCGAAUUUGUAUGUUUACGACGCAAAAUACUGACCGAUAUUAAGCAAAACAAAAGACAUAAAUCAAAAGGAGGAAAUCAGAAAAUAUUAAAAAUAUUUUUUUAAAAUGGGCCGGACCCAGCCCAGAUCAAUGGGCUGGGCCGGACCCAGCCCAGAUCAAUGGGCUGGGCCAGACCCGACCCAAAAAACUAAUGGGCUGGUUACUGUGUAUAAGCACAGUAACCAGCCCUUCACUCUUUCCUGCAGAACGUGAAUUAUUCAUGUUUUGCAUGCAAAUACAGGCAGGGACAAGAAGAGGAAAAUGAAUGAGGCAGCAGGAGGUUACCUAGGGUGGCGUCGAGGCGGUGUUGCUGGCAGCGGCAGUGCUACUAUCGUAGUGGUAGUGUUGGUGGCCGGCGGUGCUUCUCCUUUUUCUUCCUCUCCCUCCUUUGUUUUUUUUUUAUUAUUAUUUCUUUUUCUUUCCUUUUCUCCUCCUCUUUUCUGCUAUGUCUUGUCUCAUCUCUUCUCUUCUCUCUUAUGUUCCUCUAUUUUAUUUUUUUCUUCCCUCCCCUCUGUUUUUUGUUCUUUUUUCGGGUCUGUUUUUCUUCUUCUCUUUCUCUCUUCUUCCUUCUUUUUCUCUGCUCUUUUCAGUCCUCUUGCCUAUCUGCUCUCUUGUCUCUCUUUCUCUCUCUCAGUUUCCCCACCUUUCAUCAUGCUCUCCCCCUCUGUAUUUAUAGGUGAAAACAAAGGGGGGGGGGAGAGGUCGAGGUGGCCACUGUGUUGCCACCCCAAACCGCCCAAGGGGUACGUCCCCUCCAUUCUUCCACCACGUGGCAAGCAAAUGGGUUGUAUCGGCAUCUUUUUUAGCUUUAAGAGAGAGAGGGAGCUAGUGAAAACAGGGGAAUAAAACCUUCUUCUUCCCCUAAUUUCUACACAUCGAAGGGAAGAAAGGUUGUAUCGUUCAAAAAGGCACCAUUUUGGGCUUUCUCUCUUUCUUUGUUUUUAUGAACAGUAUAUGAAACGACGCUGUUUUGGUCAAAAUGCGUCAUUUUAUUUAAAUGGAUUUUGGUGCCAAAACGUGUCAAAUUCAAAAUCAGGCCUUCAAUUUGCAUGUGUUUUACAAUUUAGUCCUUGGUCUCGGAUUUCUUCAAUUAAGUCCCUAAUUGGCCAUCAAACUUCAAUAUUUAUGCAAUUAAGCCCCUAAUUUGACCAAAUUAAAUCUUAAAAAUUAUAUUUUGACCCCAAAACUUUAAUUUAUUUCAAUCAAGCCAAAUUAACUCCAAAAUUAAUUUUUCUUGCAAUCAAAACCUCCAUAAAUUCAAUUAAACCUUUAAGAAAAUUUAAUUGAGUCCAUAAACCUCUGAUUUUGGUCUUUUCUUUCUCAAAUUAAAUUUUCUUUGUCAACAGGGCUAUCAUCAGUCAACAAAAUAUUGUCAAAUUUUAAUUUUUGUAUUUUUAAACCUUCUCAACCAAUUUUUAACCCUUUUUUAGUGUUGCUGAAGACUGUGAAGAUGAUGGUCAACGCCGGUUCUCGUCUCUACGCUUUCAUCCGAUGGGCUGAGUUUGCGUCUCCUUUGCUCCUGGUUUGAGAUUCUGUCAACUUCAGUUCUGAGAUGAAGGGACAAAGAAGAUGGUGGGGCUGCUCCUUGUCUUUGCGUCGUUUCUCUGCUUUUAUUUUUCUCAGUUUUUUCGUUCCUCGGUUCUGCUUCCCCCCUCCUCUUCUUUCAUUCCCUGGCUUCUUAUAGAGCCAGAGAACGUGGUAAUCAGGGUGAGCCACGUUCCCACGAUAUGCAGUUACAGAUGUCCUGCUGAAACGGUCUUGAGCGACGAAGAAGGUGGAGCGUUUGAACUGGAAAUGGCAACUUUCGUUUUGGACCUUGAAUUUUAGAAAGUUUUGUAAUUAAGUCCCUAGUUAAAUUGUAAUUGGACCCCUGCAGUUUGGCAUCUUUUACAAGUUAGUCCUUGGAUUUUAAUCUGUUUGCAAUUGUGCCCCCAAUUAACCCCAAACUUUGCUAUUUUUCCAAUUAAGUCCUUGAUUUCAUUAAUUAAAUUAAAUCCAAGUCCAAUUAAGUCUUAAACUUAUCAACUCUCCAAUUAAACCCUUUGAUUUGAUAAAGUAAAUUAAUUCCAAACUCAAUUAAGUCUCAAAACUUAUUAAUUCUCCAAUUAAACCCUUGAUUUAAAUAAUUAAACUAGUCAAGAAUUUAAUUAAAUCUUUAAACUUCCAAUCAUGUUGCUCCUAACCCAAAUUUUAAUUCAUUCUUUAUUUAUUAAAAUUUUUACUUGUUUUUCAUUUUAGUAAAUAAAAUAAUUAAAAUAAAAGGUAAAAAAUUGGGUUAUGAUAAUUAUUUUUAUCAGAUUUUAUAUAUGAUGCAUCAAGUUUUUUAAUGUUAAUUGAAAAAAAAAUUAGGAUUACAUCCUAGUCGUAGAUAUGAUUAUUAUUCAUUUAAUGUUAAUAGAAACAUAUAUAUAUAUAUAUAUAUAUAUAUAUAGCAAAAGCAAAAGGUUUGAAUUGGUGGUUAAAAACAAAUAUUUUUUUAUUUUGCGGUUCCACCAGAUGCACCAAGUAAAUUAUUGUGAGGGUGCUCCCCUUCAGUAAAACUUUUUUUAAAAAUAAUUUAGUUUCGGUUGACUCACAAAAUUGAGACAUCUAGCUCAUGACUCAUGGCUUUGGCUUUAGACGUAGCUGUAACUUCGCUUACUAUGCUUAUUAUGCAAAGCAAUUAUUUUCAAGCUUCUGGAACGGGGCGUUCCUGCAUCUUCUUUUAUGGCAGAAGAGAUUAGAAAAUGACUUCUAUUGUCAAUAAUUUCUUCUUCCUUGUGAAAUGAUUUCCCGAUACAGCUCUUAAUUUCAACACCUGCUUGCUCUUCUUCUUUUCUUAGUAGACCUGGGAAGUCAAGUUUCCUAAUUAUCCACAUCAUCAAUCUCGAUCCCAUCAAAAAUGAAUUUGGUGGAAGAAAGAAAAAAAAUAAAAAAAUAUCAAUUAUUUUCAAGCUUGUGGAACGGGGUGUUCUUCCAUUUUCUUGUUUUAACUGUUUUCUUCGUAGACUUGGGAAGUCAUGUGUUAUGAACAAUUGAUUUGAUCUUGAAAAUGACUUCUUUCAAUAAUUUCUUCUUCCUUGUGAAAUAAUUUCCCGAUACAGCUCUUAAUUUCAACACCUGCUUGCUCUUCUUUUCUUAGGAGACCUGGGAAGUCAAGAUUCCAAAAUAUCCACAUCAUCAAUCUCGACCCCAUCAACAAUAGUGCCCAGCAGGAAAAAUUAGUUUCUGACGGUGAGAUGAUGCCAAAAUUGUAGUCAAAGAGACUUGGAACUCCCUGAUGAUGGUCUCUAGCUCUGGAGGUUUAUUCUGCCAAAAUUGCAUGGGCCGUUUUACAGCCUUCGUAAUGGGCUUGGCUACUUUGGGUAAUUAAAAAAACCCAAAUCGAUAAUGUUUUUUUUUUUUUCCUUUGGUAUCCGUUUAAUCAAUCUUCUGGUUUGAUCCUUGAUAGUGCUGUGUUUUGAUGCUUGUCGAUUAGCCACAAUAAUGUUAAAUUUACAAGGACAGAUCCAAGAAAAGCAAUGCAGGCCUGUAUUGGUCUCUGGGAGUCCCCUGAUAAAGGCUGCAAUCAUUGCUUGAACCCUUGUAAAGGGGCCUUUACACAUGAGGUCCACUGAAGAAGUACAACACCGUUUUUUUAUUUAAUUCUUAUGGUUUAAAUCUACUAAUAACUUAGUCAUUUUGCAUGCUAUUUUUCCACUUGUUUUGUAAAAUAGAGAAAAGAACAAAGUAAAUCUUUUUUUUUAGUUUAUGGCAUGUUCUCAAAAGUUUUAUUGAUAUUAAUUAAAUAAAAAAGACAUUGAUAUAGCUGAAAAUUGAGAACGAGAGGGAUGAUCAGGAAUGGAUUAAGCAAAAUGGGCUUGAAAAAGACCCAACAGCAGAGAAAAAUCUGAAAUAAACUCUUGAUGUUCAAAAUAGCCCACAAGCAAGGAAAAUUACCAAAAUAGGUAAAUACUGAUUAUUCAAUAAAUAAAGAAACUUCCUAGAAUAAGUGUGACAUCCUUUAAUGUUUUUACCUUUUAGAACAGUUUAUCCAGGUCGAUUCCACUUUGCUUCAACCGACCACAAUGAUCCCAUAUCCAUCUAUACAAAAAUCAAUUAAGCGGUCCAUUGACACAUUAACUUCUCUGGCUCCAUUCCGUCCUGGAUUAGCAAUCUUUCAACAUUGAGUGUUCUUCUUCUAAAAGCUACCUGAUCUUGUCAACCUAUGACAGAUCUAAAGACUUGAGAGCGGAAAGCCCAUUAAAACAUGAUAAAAUGCUUUUAUCAUUAUUAAAUCGGUUCCCACUUAGGUCAAGUACCUCCAGUUUUGAUGGUAGGACUUCGAAGCCUGGAAGAGAAACAUCAAAGCAAGAUAAUUGACAUUAAACACCGACCUUGAUUCUCAAAAUAAUAUAAAUUUAUUCUAUGAUUAUAAGAACAGAAAGAUUGAACCGACCAUGAUUCUCAAAGCAACCAACUAAUCCAUUACCGAUCAAAUCAAGACUUUGCAAUUCGUUAAAAGGCAGAAACAAAGAUGCGUUGAGAACCCAAUCCCCCAAACUCUCAUCCCUUGCACCAAUAAGAGAGAGUCGGAUCACUCGCCUUUGAGUGUUAUCACACUUGAUCCCAUACCACUCACAACAAUUACUACUGUACUCCGCCCAAUCUCUCAUGUAAAUGCUGUUUGGAUUGAUCAAAGGUUUGAUCUCCAUGAGACCAAUUCUCUCUUCCUCCAAACACCCAUAAGAACGACCACACCAUUUCGCCAUCCAAAGUCAAUAAUGUGACCAAAAUCCAAACCCACAAUAUCUUUUUCACCACCAUCUUAUAUUGUUCUAUAAACCACUACGUAGAAUUUUGUUGUUUGUUAUGUGAGUUUGGGCAACCCACAUUUGGUCCCAUUUAAAACACACUUUGGCCAUUUCCAUGAUUUUAUCUGCGUAUCCUGUGCAGGUUCCAUGAUUUUAUCGGGGAGUCAAUUUAAGUUAUUUUCCUGCCACUUUCUCAGCAGUUAUUCUCGUAGAGUCCUAUUUUGUGUUAAACGUUGGGUGCGUAUAAAGUAGUCAAAAGUAGGAUAUCCCGCUUUCUCCAUUGCUGUUCUGCAACAAUAUUUUGGUAGCCUUAUAGCACUCACUACUGGAGAAAUUGAGCUAAAGCAUAAAAUGUCAUGUACGCGGAUGCUUGACUUGCGGUGUGCCAUCUUGACUCUUAAACACCACCGAGCAGUAAUUUCAUGGUGAUUUCCUUAUUAAUACUGGUGGUCUUCCAGAAUCUUUAUCCAAACAACCCUUGCUAGACCGGGAUCGGGGUUGAUCAGGGAUAAGACUCGUGUCAUGACUUUUGAUGAGAUCACUAGGGCUCUGUUUGUUUGCAGGAAAGUGAAUUCCUUUUGGAAAGUGAAUUCCGGGGAAAGUGAAUUCCUGGAAAGUGAAUUCCGGGAAAGUAUUUUCCGAUGUUUGGUAGUGUUAUGGAAAAUGAACUGGAAAACACUUUCCAGUGUUUGGUUGUAUUAUGGAAAAUGAACUGGAAAAUAAUUUAUUAAUGAAUUAAUUUUUUUUUUAAAUUUAUCUAAUAUAUAUAUAAAAUAUCUAAUAUAAAAUAUUUAAUCACUUACAAUAAAAAAAAAUGAAAUCUAAAAUGUAUAAUGAUGAAUUUUUUUUAUUAUAUUCUAUAUUCAUACAUAGCUUAUUUUAUAAAAUAUAACUAUAUAUAUCAUAUCAUAUUAUAGAGAAAUAAGCUUGUGAAAUGUUUUUUACUAUUCCAUGAAACUAUUUAUAAUUCCAUUACGUACGAAAUAUAUCUGACAAAAAUUAUAGUUUUAAUAAUAUUUUUAGCAUGUAACAAAAUUGGAUAAAAUAUUAAGGUUUAAAAUUUACUCUAAACUAUUUUUUUUUAAUGUUAAAAAAAAUAGCACACUUAAAAAAAAAAAAAAAAGAAUCCUACAGGCAAGUGAACAGUGCAAGAGAACUGCACUGUUCACUAUUUUUCCAGUAAACAGUGUACGCAAUACACUGUUCAUGUUAAUUGCACUAUUCAUUGAACAGUGCAAUUAACAUGAACAGUUAAGAAAAAAUGGCUGCUUUUCACCGCUGGCCACUGUCGGAAAGUGUUUUCCUUUCUUUAACAAAAGAAAACACUUUCCUUUGGCAACACUGAUUUAUUUUCCAUUGACUGAAUUCAUUUUCCAUUGACUUUUUUUCUUGUUGUUGCCAAACACUGGAAAAGCAGGAAAGUGAAUUCCAGGAAUUCACUUUCCUGCAAUCAAACACGGCCUAGAUUAACUUUCAUUUUUUGCUAAUUUGGUUGAAGAAAGAAAUAUUUAGCCUGAUUUACUUCCAUAUUCAUUUUCUUUUUAAUACAUACAUGCUUGUAACAAGACAGGAUAAAAGCCAUGUAAACAAGGUAAUUAAAAAAUGUCUUCCGGCAAGUUUGUUUGUUUUUCCCCUUUAUUAUGAUAUAUAUACACGAAAGAAGAAAAUGCAUUGAUUAAAAUGCAUAGACCACCGUGUGGGCCAAUAAAAUGAAAACAAAAGACAAUAUCAAUGGUUUGCAAAAAAAGAAAAAAGAAAGUUUUCUGUUAAAUUUAUCUUUAUGUUAAUUACUUGAUUAACUAAACUUAAUCAUGUAAUAUUGAAUUAUUUGAUGAAAAACUUAUUUAAAACAGUAUUAAUUGACAUAUUUUAAAGUAAAAUAAAAAACAAACCCCGCUUACUUGCUUAUUUUUAAUGUGAAAAAUUAUUUUUUAACAUAAAUUCUUUAACAUAUUAACAUAAAAAAGUUCAAUAUAAUUAAAAUAAAUUGUGAUUAACAUGCUUUCUGAACCAAGCUUUUAUAUCUAAGAGACUAAUUCUCUCUUCCUCCAAACCACAAUGGCAAAUUGUGCCAUGAGCAGCCCUUUUGUCUUCUGGGCUGGAACAUCAGCCCAGCCCACGCGGAUGGGCUGAGUCCAGCCUUGUAGCUGGACCAAUACAGGCCCAGCCCACAUGAUUGGGUCGGGUCUGGCCCAGUUCAAUUUAAUGUUGGAACAUCAGCCCAGCCCAUGUGGGUGGGCUGAGUCCAGCCUUGUAGCUGGGUUAAUACAGGCCCAGCCCCCACAAUCAGCCCAGUUCAUUUCUUUUUUAAAAAAAAAAAAAAAAUUAUUUUCAAAGAAAUUGCAAUUUCCCCGUGUAUUUAUUUUACGUCAUUUUGAUUAAUAUUGGUCUGUAUUUUUAUAUCAUAAAGAUAUAAAUUCGGUAUUAAAAUAACCGGUUUUCAAAAAAAAAUAUUUUUGUUUUCAUACAUACGGCCUAGUUUCUCAAGGCUAAAAAUAAAUAAAAUCAUAUUGUAUCUUCAUACAACAAAGAAAACUUCAAUAUAUAUAUAUAUAUAUAUAUAUAUAUAUAUAUAUAUAUAUAUAUAUAUGUGAACAUGUGUUUUGGCUUUAAUAACCAGUUUAUUAAAGUUACGAGAACUCGGCCAAUAUUUCAAAAAAAUCAAAAAAUAUAUUUUGUUUUGUUUUAUUGUCUGGGAUUAUGAAUUUAUAUAUAAAACGUAUUCCUAAUAUUAAAAUGGUAGUUCUUUUAUAGACAUUAGAACAGUUAUGUUUUACCCCCAUAAGAUAAAAACCUCUUUACUGAGAAUGACUUUUCUUGAACCAUAGACGGACCAACAUGAUAAGACCUUAUAUUUUUUAUCAGACAGUGAAACAAUGCAACUUACCUCAGAUAGAGCGUAUUUGGGGUGUUAAUACCUUCUCUUUACGCAACCAGUCUCCGUAUCCAAUCUUUGAGACCAGUUAGGGUUUCUAGUGACUAGAAUACUAGGUGGCGACUCUCCUUCUAUUUUUUCACUGCUAAGACACAAAAAAUUCCUUGUCUCCCCAUUUUUGCUGGAAUAGAUACAAUUGCACCUAAUGAGGAGAAGUGGUGGGCGAUCAUCGCGACGCCGUACACAUGCAACACAUGUAAAACGGUUUCUAUAUAUAUAAAAGGAAGAAAGAAGAAAAUGCAUUAAAUAAAACAUGGAUAUCUUUGAAUGAAGAAAUUUAGGACACCGCUGACGUAUAUAGACAAAGUAUGCCAAGAACGAGGGGGGGCAAAAACAUUAUCAAUGGCUUGAAAGAACAAGACAAAAUAAAAUCAUUAGUUUUGAGCUUCAGAAGACAAUUUUAGCCAUUUAAUUUUGUCUUCAACUCGUUACAAAAAGCCUUGUCAUUUGAGAUUUCAUGCUUGUAAUGUUUCUGUUUUCAAUUAGUAUUACGCUUCCAUCUGUCAGAAUACUGUUGAACUUGACAAGAACUUUGAGCAAAUUCCAAUUUGAUUUUUGUAGCGAAUUAUAUCACUUAAUUGUUUGCUUAGGCUUAUUUUUAAUGUUCAAUGAAGUUUCACCAAUCAGUCAUCAAAUUCUGUAAAUGUUGCAGAUGAUUGCUAGGAAUAAAUCACAGUCAUUAAAUUUCUUCAUUUUGGUCCUUAAAUUUGUUUGCUAUGCUGUAGUUCUUUAUUUUUCGUGGAUAAAUUAUUUGGUACAGAGUUCUAAUUAAUAGCCAAAAAAGAAAAUAGCUCUGAAGAUAUCAGAACAACUGAAAAGAGAAGCAAAUAAUUGAUAAGGUGGGAGAAAAGAAUAGCAAAAUGCAUAGGCAAAUUUCUACAGUAUCAACUGACAAUGUGGAAGAAGAGAAUAUCAACCUGAUAGAUCAUAUAUGCGAGGCUUAUGUGGUUUACGAACACCUGAUUUGCAGAAGCUGGGGAUAAUGUUGAAACUCAAAUACACUCCUAUACAAUGAAAGGUUUUCUUGAAAACUAUCAUAAUUAAAGCAUAAAUUCAAUGAAAACUAAAUUUGCUGGAGGGGUUUCACAGAUUUUGACCAGAUUGAAUUUCACGAGGCGUCUAGCGUGAAUGAAUUAGGGUUUUCUUCUAGCCUUGAAAUUAUAGAGGAAUAGAGAAAAACAAAAACUCAUAUUUUUCUGAAAAGUCUAUAAUUCAAUAAUCUAAUCUUAAAACAAUACUUCAAUUGUUGAAAUAAAAGUUUUAAACCGAUCUAAUUAAAAGAAUUUAAGAUUAAGUGUGAAAAAUAUAAAAAAUACAAAAUUAUUUAGGAAAAUAAUUAAAAUAGCAAAAAUAGAAUCUUUUGACCUAACUUUGAAAAGAUCCUGUGGUGAUGGAGUCUAUAAAAUUAUCUAAUAAAAUUUAAGUAUAAUAUAAUAAUUAAAAUUAUAAUUAUAAUUAAAGCAUAAAAUGUCGUGUACGCCGAUGCUUGACUUGCGGUUUUCCAUUUUGAUUUUUAAAUACCAGAAAACGGUAAUUUCCUUAUAGAAACUGGUGGUCUCCUCGCGACCUUUUUUCUCAAAUAACUGUUGUUAGAGCAUGAUUGAAGUUAGGAUUUAACCCGUGUCAGAAACUUAAUGACUCUCCUCACUAACAGUAAUUUAUUAAAUAUUUUUAAUAUACUUAGUUCAUGUGAGGUUGUGUUUUCAAAAUCUUCCGAGAAAAAAGGACUAAAUGAUGACACACACGACAUUAAUGCAAAAAUAAAAGAUAGCACUACUGGCCAAAUUAAAUUUCACGAGAUGUAUAAAUUCAAACUAGGAUUUUCCAGCCUUUAAUACUCUAUGGAGAAAAAAACUCUAAUAUUUUUAUAAAAAGCUUAUAAUUUAAUAAUCCAAUCUUAAAACAAUAUUUCAAUUGUUGAUAUAAAAAAUUAAAACUGAUCUAAGAAAACUAAGUGGAAAAAAUAAUAAAAUAUAUUAUUUUCAGAAUAUAUUAACAAUUUAUUUCUUGAACAUGAAUACCAAGAAUAGACAGAGAGACACAGAGGAAUCAUUCACAUUUGCACUUGAAAGAAGCCAACUGUAUGCAAAGAGGGCCAAGAAGAACAAAUGAAUUAGUUUGCUGAAACAGACAAUACAAACAAAAGGAGAAGAAUGAGAAAUCAGAUGGGCAGUGUGAUGGUAUUUUCAGAACUAUGGUUGUGCCUUUUGGAAGAGAAUGUGCUUCUUCUCUGACCAUUGUGUACAAUUAUGGUCGUUGUUUCAUCAAAAUCAGAGGGCUGAUUCUGCCUUCUCCUUUACAGCUUCCAAAAGAAAAGGUGAGAAUGGGCUAUUCUUGCUUUUGAUAUUUGAAAUCAUAACAUGCUCCACUGAUUGACUUUUGGUGUAACAUUUUGAUCCUUAAACUUCACUUGGCCGUAAUUUCCUGAUGAUUUCUUUAUGGGAAACAGGUUGUCUUCUCGCAAUCCUUUUCCAAACAACCCCUGUUAGAGCAUCAUUAAAGUUUUGAUUUGUACCAUCAUCAAAAAAUGACUGUCAUCAUCAUCACAACGUACUUCCAUUUCAAUUAAUUCUUUAUAUUAUAACGCAGCAGAACAUAAAAUAAUGGGUGAAGAUAUUUUAGCUGAUAAUGGGUGAAGGGAUAUUUUUUUUCUAAUUGAAAACGACUUGUCAGCUUUAGAAAAUGCAUGCAGGGCCCAGUUUAAUUUCAAUUUCUCAUACUCUCGUUAAUGCAAGUUUGGACAGCUUGGGGAUGUGUCGUCCAUCCGGUUUCCUUUUUUGAUCGGGAGUCAAUGGGAUUAGUAAUUGACACUUCAUCAUCAAAUCAAAAUUAAAAAUGUUAAUGAACUCACAAUUAAUUGCCAUUAAGCUCCAUUGAGUGUAAACAAUGAAUUUAUAAAAUAGUCAAAAGUGGGAUGUCGUGAUUUCAACAAUGCCGUUUCAGAAAAUUGAUAGUCAUGAUGAAAAGAAGAAGACAGAAUUGUUGAGUUGAAACGUGAACGUCGUGUUCUCCUGAUCAAUUGUAUAGUGAAGAUGGUGGAACUGAUGCGGGUGCAUAGCACCAACCAUUACUUCCCUAAUGAUUUCCUUGCGGAAGAAAUUAUUACAUUUUUAAAGUUAAAAGUGCUAAAGCACAAUUCAAAGAAAAUAAGCAGUACUAAACUUAACAAGCUAGUUCAAUGGAGGAGAAUGGUGUGCUGAAACACUAUGAUUUUCAAAAAAAUUGAAGCAUAUCAGAUCCAUGCUGCUGCAUUCGCAAGAAACGAGCACCCAUCAACAAUGUGCUAAAUGUCAAUGCAGAGCUUUAAAUCAUCUACAGAGGCUCAUGAAGAAAAUAGGCAUAAAUGAUAACAGAUAACACACCAGAGCACUCUACGUAAACUGAUAUCUUUAGAAAAUUCAAAGGCAUGAAUGAAAAAGAAAAGCUAGAAAUAUCUAAGUCAGCUCUUAAUUUGUAACAGUCCACAACUUCAUGUUUGGUGUGUACUGUAAACUAUGCUCUCCACAUAAUCAUGAGCUUCAUCUGCAAAAAACCAUUUUCACUUCUUGGGACAAGGGAUCAAAAAAAUACAAACCUGUUGUUGGAUUACAUUCAUAAUUUAUAUCAAGCACUAGAUGCUGCUCGAAGGAAGUCCUUCAAGGAAAAAAAUCAGGAACAAAAAUGCUGAGAGGUCCAUCUUGGAGGUCAGAAAGCUGGAGUUCUACUAGAAGAAGAUACCUCUGGAGAGAGAAAUAAAGGAAGCCUGAACUGCUUAGAGUUUUCUUACCGAAGCUUCAAGUUAAGAUCAUUUUCAUUUCAAUUUGGAUGUAGAAAUAAUGAUGGGAUGUGAAAAUUAUAUUUUCAUUUCAGAGAGCUGGUUGAUUAUAUUUUGAAAAAGGGUAUAUAUGAAAGUUAAAUCCUCUGUUCAAAUGAACAAAGGGAUCAACUUGAGCAAGAGUCAACAAGCUAUCCUUCGAGGUCAAUGGAACAUACCACUCAUAUUAAUCUUCUACUAUUUAGGGGAAUUCAUACAUCCACUCAUCUUAAGCUGGAAAACUUAUGGAAAGCAUUCGCAAUUGUUUCCAAUGUAUCGACUGUAAUCAAUCAAUAGAUCAUCAACUAUUGUCCUCAUUGAAAGUUUCCUGCUCCCUAUAUAGAGAAUGUCUGAUUAAUUUCAUUAAAUAUGCAUGAUUCCACUGUAUGUUAGCUAACCAAAAGAGCCUACAGGCCAAAUAAACAACAGGAAUAAGAGAAACUACUUCCAACGCCAUCAUUUCUCCUUUCUAGUAUCAUCUUUUGUUUAAUGUUUAAUGCUCGUAGCCUCUGAGCACUCCAAACUAAUUUUUAAAAUAAAAUAUCAAGAGAUGGCAGAAAAUGAAUGUGCUCAUCAACUAUUUUCCUCAUUGAAAGUAUACUGUGGUAUUUUAAAUUGCUCCAGUUUUUAAAAAAUAGAAGGCCACAGGCCAAAGAAACAACAGGGAUAAGAGAAACCGUUUUUUAUUUGAGAAAAUACGAUACUGCAAACUAUUUCUUAUGAAUAAAUCCCGUAUUACAAGAAGCCAAGAAUUGGUUGGUUGCUCAGCACAACAUAACUCAACAUAACUGAUACAAACAAUUACUGAUACAAGCACAAGGACAAACACAAGUCACAUCAAAAUAGAAAGGCUAAGCAACAAGAACACUUCUCACAGGCAAAUUGCUAAACAUGCAGUGAGCAACCAUUGAUUUGGAAUGCGACUGCUUCUCCACAGAGGAUUGCAACAAAUUCAGAAAGCAGCCCACACGCUCCUGAUAAGAUCCAAUCACCUUCUGAAUCUGGACAACUUGGGAAAGUUAAUUGCCAAAAAGCAGCAGCAAGUGUCAAUGCAUUCUUCAAUGAAGUAAAACCACCUGCGACGCCAAUGCGGAUUUAUGCACAGUACUGCUGCAAUUGUCAACACCACAGUUAUGUAAAACACACCAAAGCUGGCAUAGAAACUGUCCAUGUCUAUGAAGCCACCAUCUCCAUUGAAAUCAUUAGGCACUCUCGCGGAUGGUGAUUCUGUUUUGUCGCAACUAUUUUGCAAUGGAGGUCCACAAAGAAGAGGAUUCCCUUUAUAACUGCUUUCAUCAAAGGUACCAAAUUGAUUUUUCAUCUCCGGUGUUCUUCCUGACAAAUUAUUGUACGACACGUUAAAAACUGCUAGAAAGGUCAGUUCAACGAGUUGUGCAGGAAUUCUCCCAUUCAAAUUGUUGUGAGAAAGAUCCAAGCUCUCUAGCUGCUUCAGAUUGAAGAAGGAUGAAGGGAUCAAUCCAGUGAGAUUAUUUUGUGACAGAUUUAGAGAAUGUAUCCCACUUAAGUUUCCCCAUUCUAUCGGGAUUUCUCCAGUGAAUCUGUUACAAGAAAGAUCCAAAGCAGACAUGUAACGAAGGAUUUCGCCUUCAUAAGUGUAGAAGUUUUUCUUUGUUGUAAGCUCUACAG